UCUCUUUUUUUUUGGUAUACCUCUGACGAUUCUUGUAGGGCCUUGUUUAGUUCCGAAAAGAUUUCGGUACUGUAGUAUUUUCGUUUUUAUUUGACAAAUAUUAUUCAAUUAUAGACUAACUAGGCUCAAAAGAUUCAUCUCGUGAUUUAAAAGCAAACUGUGUAAUUAAUUUUUGUUUUCAUCUAUAUUUAAUGCUUCAUGCAUGUACCGCAAAAUUCGAUGUGAUGAAAAAUCUUGAAAACUUUUUAAAUUUCGGUGGAAACUAAACUGGCCUAGGUUCAUAUCAGGAUAAGGUCAUGCACACCGGCACACCGCACAUCUUGACCCUUUUGAGAUGUCCGUUCUUGAAGCAACCUUUUGGUCUCACUGCUUCAGAUCAUUCAAAUGUAUCGUCUGUCUGAGCGUAGGGGUAGCGAACAAAGGUGACACCUUUGAGUUCAGCAAACAUAUCAUCGUAGAACAAGAAAGCGACACAAACCGAGCAUAGUGUCACAACUCACAACACAAAAGAUAUCUGCAUUUUUCAAAUAUUUUUUGUACAGAUUUAAUACACAUACAUAUUGAAUUGUUUUCGCAUACAAAAUAAAUUGUUUCUGAACUCUCUAUAUUGGACUCUUGAGACAAUCUCCUUGCAAUUCAUAAGUGCAGCAUGAAGAAACAUUGUUACAGAUGACUAUCACUUGCGGCCAUCAACUUACAAAACUUUGACAACAUACCCUUUUUACUACAGACAUGACAGGGCUCAAUGCCUUUUGCUGUAUAGUUGUCCUUGAGAAAAUAAUGAAGUCGACCUAGAAGUCCAAAAAUUUUUCAAUCUCUGAAGCAAAAUUGCAGUAGAGUUGAUCAGUCAGGGCUGAACAUAAAUCUAUCUCAACGCGGCAACAUUGCCAAGAUGUCUUCUUUGUGCUGCAUACAGUAGUACACCAAAAUUGCAAGAAUAAUAACUAGUAGCAUGGGCCAUAUGCUUGUUCCUGUCAUGACACAACCAUCCAUUUUUAGUAUAGGGCUUGCGGUUAGUGGCUGGAAAAAACAAAUCUAUGAAUUAAAGAUGCAACAUACCAUUACUCUUCGGGGACCCAACAGAUGUCACCCUUGCAGAAGAGUCAAAGGAAGUUGACAGCAAUGUUCUGAAAUGAUAUAAAGCAACUACAUUGAGAAAUUGCAUUUUUUUUUCUUUAGAUUCGUCAACUCGAAGUUCAAGAUAAUAACCUUGAAUCCUGGGAGAAGGCCAGUGUAGUAACAAUACCAAGAUGAGCCUUUUUAACUGUUACAAGUGUCCGCAUGUCUUUUGAGCUCAGUAUGAUGAUGCUUCCUUCAAUUGUUCCACUAGAAACCGAAGGCAGACAAAUAAAAUUUUCAAGAAAAUAAGCAAUGGUAUCUCUACAAGAUUAUUAAGAAAUAAGACCAAGGGGAUCUUUCCAAUCUCACAUUCCAAGAAGAGCGCCGUUGGGUGACACAGCAAAAGCUGAAAUGGCCUCACGAGUUAUUUUCUUUGAACCGAUUCUCGUCCAUGAGGUAGUAUUCCAAGAUACUAUUUUUCCAUAAUCACCUAAAAAGCAAUAUUAUUCAGGUAUUGUCAGACCUUAAGCUUGCUGUCUAGUUCAAUUUGUAACUAGGUCAAGUACUCAAGUUCAUCUUAAUGCCAACCUUGCAUCACUGUUAUAAAUAGGACAUGACUGUUGUCAGUCUUAUUACAGAAUCUGCAGAAUCCAAAUAUUUCCCCCUGAAAAUGUACAGAUCAAAACUCUCUUGAAACAAGACAAAAUCAUUAAAAUAAUGCAUUUCGUCCAAGAAAGGAACUCACUGCUUCUCUUGACAGACUGGCUACAACUUCAGAUGACUGCAGAUCCCAAACUCUACAUGGCCCGCUGCUCCUAUUCACAGCAAGAAACUUCUCAUCGGAACUGAAAGCAUGGACCAAAGCAGAGGAACCCAUCAGUAUCGUGCAAACAAUAUUCAAGUGGGAAGAGUUUAGUGAUCAUUUAUUUACCUGAUGGUAAGAUCCUUAAUCGAUGUUUUAGUAUCAGUUUCUGUGAGAACAGACCCCAUAGCAGGCCACUUGAAGACUCUUAAAUGCCCAUCCUACAAAAGGAAAGAAAGAAAUGAACAUGUCAAUAACCAUAAGAUUUCAGUGCCAUAACAGAAAGACCAAGAGAACCAGGAAAAUCACAUAUGAACCAUGACAAAACCUCAAAGCACAAAUGCAAGACCAUACUGAAAAGUUAUCUACUUAAAUGGAGGCAAACCAGAUUUGUCUUUUUAUUAUAAUGUAAAGCAAGAAUAAAUAUAAGUGCUCAAAGACUGUUCUGCCAGAAGGAAAUGACUAUUAAGAAGUCAACAAUGGAUAAAACCUAUUGAAACUGAUAAGCACAUCUUUGGUUUUAACGGUAAAUUAAGGUGAUGGCACAAACAUGUAUAAAACAAGAACAUAUCAUAAAAAGUGCAUCUCAAGAACUACUUAAUGUGGAUAGCUGGUCCUAGAUCCCUAUGUCCUUGGUUGUCUGAGGCGGCUGGUCGUGUUUCCCCAGUAUAUUUUCUAGAGUGUUGUUUUUUCUAAACCCCGUGGGGAUGCCUGGGAGGGGGUUUCUUACUUCCCUCCCUUGUGUCAUUUUAUUCUUCUUAAUGAAAUGGCAUGCAGCUCUCGCACGUAAUUCAAGGGGGAAAAAGAACUACUUAAUGUUGUUUGAUAUCUCCAUAUGUAAAGACAUAAAGUAAAAAAUAAUUUCAUUCAAAACUACACUGGCUGUACUUUCUAGCCAAAGAUUUCUGUACCAUGUCGACCAUGAAACAAGAAUCCCUUUGCCCAACAUAAACAAUAUACACCAACCUUAGGUACUCAGUAUCAGAAUCCCCCAUACAUAAUAUUGUAGCAAAUGAUUAUUAAGUUGACAAAAUGAGCAAAUUGUUUGGCUACAUUAGUCGGUACUAACAAAUGUUGCUUAUGAUGACCAUAGUCUAUACAAUUUUUCUGCAUGAAGCAAUGAAAGAUAAUAUUUUUAGUACACCUAGAAAUUACUAAGCUAACAUAUCUUUCUAAGGCAUUUUUUUCCAUUUAUGAUGUCAGACUCAGAAGAACAAAUAAAGUUGAAAGUUACUUAAAUGCAUUCCAAACUAGGUACUCGAAGUGCCUAUAGUUUUCCCUAUGGAAAAUGUCAAAUAGGAAAGGAAAUAAAAAGAAGGUAAAUACUAAACCUACCGAGAGUUACAAAAAGUAAAAUGCAAUGGAAAAGUACGCCAUAUGUUAACUUACCUCACCACCAAUGGCAAGUAUUGAACCUUCUCCACUGAAGGAUACGGCCAACUGCAAACCAACAUCUUUCAGCUCCGCUAAAGCUUCCUGGUCUGGCUCCAAGGCCAGGUUCUGUGGUCCCUCUCCUUCCUGUGAUUCCCAUCGGUACAACCUACAUGAGUGUUUUCGUAGUUAAAAAUUAUGAAAAAAAACAAACUUUUCAGCCAAGUUCAAUUAUUUAUUGUUCACAGGAAUACAAAACAAUGCAGCAUUAUCUUGUUGUAGAAUAUAAGAUGAUGGCAAAGCAUAUAAGGUACAUUUUGUAGCUGAUACUUUCUGAACCAGAAACACAUCUAUACUAACAAGUAACAACUAAGAAAUCUCAAAGUAUACUUCAUGUUAGACCACAAAAACCAGAUUGUAAGGGAUUUAAUUACUCCUACUAAGGAAACAGAAAAUAAUCAAGCACGCCCAAAAUACCACCUUUUACUAGCAAGUAUCAACAGUAGAUAAGCUAUCUUCUUGAAUAUCAUGGCUUCGGCUACUAUAUACAAGACAAUUCACAAAUACCUUCGCUUCAGGUCAUGUCACUUGUUACUAGCAAGAUUCCACAUUAGAUGUUAUCUUCGCAGAUGGAGUAGUUUAUAUUGAAUACCACCCAUUAUCUAGACUAGACAAUGAAUGGAGGCGACAAAUGACAUUCGGAUCAUUUGUGCAUAUCAGAAUACAGAACCAACCAAUACAUUAGCACGCAGCGCAGGGUACAAACCCAAAGGAUAUGAUCCGAGGGGGUGAGGGUGCAUACCUGCAGCCGUUGGGGAAAGCGCAGAACACGCCAUCGCCGCGCGGGUGUACAGCCAUUCUGUACGGCACCUCCUCUUGGGUCUUCACCUCAAGCACCUGCCCACCACCACGGAAUGCCGAAAUCAGCACGAGACACUGAGCCCCACCCUAGAUCGGAGCGGGAUCUGGGAGGACGGAUCGCUCACCGUCUCGGGGGAAAGGGCGGCCGGCGCGGCGGCCUCUUCCCCGGCGGCGAGGGCCGCCACCACGAGCUUGUUCGGCACCCCGCUCCGGCCCUCCCCGCCGCCGCCCCCGAGGACAGCCAUAGGGGGCGGGGGAGAGGAGGGGGAGGAGGAGGCAGCAUCCGCGUCCGCGUCCGCGUCCGCCUCGGCGGCGGGAGGGUCGGGCUUGAGGAUGUGGGCGAGCGGGAGCCAGGCGGCGCAGUAGAUCGGGAAGCCGUAGGACUGGCUACCGCCGCCGCCGCGAGUCGCCAUCGCGCGGAGAAAGGUGGGGGUGAGGAGCGCCCGGGUGCCGGAGGGGAGGUGGGCCGGUGGCGGUCGCAGUCGCGGUGGCCGCCGGUGGGGACGCGCGGCGGACGGUGGAGGGGAGAGCGUGGCUGGUGACGGGAAUAUUAACGCGGCUGUGUAAAGUUCCGUUUGGGUGGGUUGACCACUUGACCUCGAGAAGAGAUGGGUUUUCUUCGCUUCAAAGUUGGGCCGUAUAAUCGAGGAUCUUUUGGUCAAAACUAUAAAAAAAAAUGUAAGAAGGGACGGUAUGAUUCGUAUAAUCGAGUUUUGUUGUAAUAAAAAAAAAUUAUAAUGUACUAGGAUCAUCAACCUGUCAUGUAUACUGGUGAGGUGUACAGAUUCUCUAUAAAUCACCUAUUUUAUUAUUAAGUAGUGCACCACACAUUCAUGUUACUUCAUCAAUGUUUAAUCUCUCUCUCAUUUAUUUUUUCAUAAAAUAUAACUUUUUUUCUUAUGCUACGGCAAGAAGCAUAAAUUGUUGAAAUUUGACUGCACAAAGAUGAGAGAUUUUACAAGUUGACACAUUUUAGCCUUGUCUUGCCUACCACUUCUGCACCCUGUAGGUGCUCUUGCACCAUUGCCACUCUUGCUCCCACACACCUCCACAAAAUGGGGACCGCCAUAGCCACCGCUCCCAUUGCCAUCCUAAGUCCAGGGGCGCAAGUGAUAUUGAUUGACUAAUCCCAGCUUAUCCUCAUAAAUGUCUAUAGUUGAUGGUUGCCGCAUUGUGUCUAUGGUGAUCGGUGAAGACAUCUUUCUUUUGUCGUGGAGAUGUUCACCUCGUUUUUACCUAUUUGCAUGGUCGGGCUCCUAGUCACGUUGUUGGUCCUCGUCUGUUGUCUAUUAUGUUGGGCAUUUCCUCUUUUCUUGACCUCUACCUCCACCGUUAUCAUAGAGUCCCUCCUCAUCCUUUGUAGGGACACUAGGACAUGGACCAUAUGUUUAUCAUUAGGCUUAUAAUAGAUGUAUUUGUAUGGUAAAUGUAUGAGUACAUCUUUUUUUUUUUAGGAAACUGAAAGGGCCAAGGCUUCUACGUAUGAGACCUCUAUCUAAAUUAAUGUGUGGAGAAUUUUUCAAACUCGUUUUUAUUCGCAAAAUGCACUUGUGCCACUCUGUUUGCUUGAGCUUAUCUGCUGAAUCUGCCAGCCAUUCAGCAGUAUUUUUCUCUUAUAAUAAAUCAGCGAACAACACUUUCAGUAAUGACUUUUCAAACAAACGAACAAGCUUGAACCAAGUGGCAUGAUCGUGGGCAGCGCGUGCGCUCGGUAAACAGUUUUUUUUUCAUUCUCACUAGUACUUUGAGCCUUCAUGAUAUGCCAAUGCUUUUGACGGCAUUAAAAAAGGGUAUAUGGAUUUAUUACAAUGUACAUACAUAUUUACUAGUAAUAAAUACUUAUAAACGUAAGAAAGUGCAUGUGUACAUGAUUUGUGCGUGAAAAAGUUCUUGCUUUGAAAAUUUAUUUUGCACGACAAUAGUUUGACGUUAAUUUCAUCCAACUAGUCAGAUCGGACGGUUGACAUUCACUGUUGCAAUCGCAAAAGUCCAUACGGCCCGGCCGCCCCCAAACAAAACCUCACCCUUCUCUUAUCCGCCGCAACGGCCGCCCGCCGGCCACCACCUCCACACCCCCCCUCACCGGCGAGAUGCUGACCUGCGGCCGCUUCAUCUCCUCCUCCGCUGCUACCAGCACCGCAUCCUUCUCGCCGUUUCGGACUCUCACCCGCUCCCUCCUUCGCCGCCCCGCUCCCCGCCUCCUCUCCUCUGCCUCCGCCGCCGCCGCCGCCGCCACCGCCGUCGAACCCGACACCAAAGGUAAUAGAUUUAACCUUCACUCUUCAUCUCAACGACGUACAGUUAUCUAAGCUUCCGUUUUUCCUUUCAGGCGGCGGUGGCGCGGGAGGUGCUGCUGCUGCGGUGAGGCCGCAGUGGAAGGCGGCGAUUGAUUUCAAAUGGAUCCGGGAUAACAGGGACGCCGUGGCCGACAAUAUCCGGAGCCGGAACUCCACCGCCAAUCUGGACCUCGUCCUCGAGCUCUACGACCAAUACCUCGCACUGCAGAAGGUCUGGGGCUUGCCAAUGCCGGAGCUUUUUGUUGAAGCUGUUUUUGCUGUCUGACUGUGCUGCGCUAGAUUCGUUGAUGAUAAGCUUGCGCUGUAUAGGGUCAGGUUCUAGUGCGUGGAUUUUGACUUGUGCGGCCCAGGGGUAUGUACUAGAUGGUUGCUCUUUGCUAGGAUUUUCCUCUGAGCUUAUAUUUGAACUGUAGUUUUAGAUGUCCUAUAAUAUGACUGAUGAACUGGCACGGUUUUAUUUCAUUAAGUAUCUAGUUGGCGUGGCUGUUGCGUCUCCUGUAUUUGUCUUGGCAACAGAAGUUUGAAACAGAACUCAAAAGGCUGAACAUGGAUCAGGAAUUCAGGAUAGGAUAUUUGUAAUAUGAUUCAGGUUCUUUUGUCCAUUGAAUUUCCAUUCAAUCAUACAACACCUGAGUUGCAUGCAGAUCCAAUGUUCACAAAAAAUGACUUACAGUACAUUUGAAGAAAUCAAUUGCCCAUGAAAGUCAAAUCUACGAAUUCAUACAGACCCUGUACUUUUUAUGGAGCUCUCUUUCAGAUAUACCUUGUUCUGCAUUACAUUCGGCAACUAUUGAAUUGCAGUGAACGUGUAUAUAUUCUUUCAAUCUUUAGUUGGUUUUGGUUGGCCUUUAACUGUUUUCAGACUGUGCUCUUAGCAAUUUAUCAUUCAUGAUAACAAAGCUAAGUUGCAAAUUUUUUAUGAUCCUUAUGAUUCUUGUUCAUGUGGUGCACACCUGCCCCUUUAAAUGGUUCAUUCUAAACUGCUUAAGACAUGUGCGAUAGUUAGAUACAGUAGCUGUCUAUAUAUGCACUUGAUGAACACAAUUUAUUCAGUUCCAGAAUGUAAUAUGGUGGUAACAGAACGAUGGCAACAAUUCCUAAUUAUGACAGAUGGCAGGAGGUUGAACGGCUCCGAGCUGAAAGAAAUGCAGUUGCUAACAAGAUGAAAGGGAAACUAGACCCAUCUGUACGCCAAGCCCUUGUCGAAGAAGGUAGAAUGAGUAGUUUAUUCAAGCAUGGAGAUAAGGAUUUACCACUAUAUUUGUUUUAACCAUUUUGAGUUACUACAGGUAAGAACCUGAAAGAGGGGCUUAUAGCACUUGAGGAGGAUCUUGUUCAGCUGACAGAUAAGCUUCAACUUGAAGCUCAAAGUAUUCCUAACACUACCCAUCCCGAUGUUCCUGUUGGGGGUGAGGAAAGCUCUGUCCUCAGGAAAGAGGUAAGUGUUGUUUUAUACUUCCUGCUGCCUUUCUACUUUGUACAUUUGAUAAUUUAUUUUGAUUGAACUGUGUAGGUAGGCAGUCAGAGGAGCUUUAAUUUUACAAUCAAAGAUCAUCUUCAGCUGGGGAAGGAACUUGAUUUGUUUGACUUUGAUGCAGCAGCCGAGGUAUUAAUUGCGACAACUUUCACUAACACUAUAUACAUUUUAUGUUUGGCAACACACUGCAGCAAGUUGUUCAGUAAGAUAUUUCGGAUACACCUAAAAAUUCAAACUGCAUGAUGUCAAGUAAAUAAAAAACUCGACCAUGGAUGACGUCAAUUAAAUAGAUCUAAAAUUCUCUGAAAACUUAUCUAAGUAAAUUUGCCUUGUCUUAGUGAAAGGGUCUGUAGUCUAGUGGCACAAUAACCUUAGUAACCUGGGUGUGACUCCCCUGUGGGAGUGAAUUUAAACAGGCUUGGGUUAGAAAUACCCUUUGUUGGCUGUGUUCCUGAGCUAUAUGUGUAACCAUUUGAGUCGUUUUCAGUGAGAUACAAAAUGGCCACAGACAUGUGUCCUGGGCGCUCAGUGGCAUGUCCAAGGCAGCCGACCUUUGGGGUGUUUUUACACCUAUGUUUGUUCUUAAUGCAAUGCCGUGGGGGUUUCCCUCAUGUAUCGAUUUUUUGCUUUUAAGUUUCUAUAUAAGUAGAUUUGUUAUUUAGUAUUUGUAAUAAAUGUUUGUACUGUGUUGCACAGGUCAGUGGUUCGAAGUUCUACUACUUAAAGAAUGAAGCUGUUUUGUUGGAGAUGGCCCUAGUGAAUUGGGCUAUUUCAGAGGUCUCCAAGAAGGGUUUCACACCACUCAUAACUCCAGAGAUUGUAAGAUCAUCUGUUGUUGAGAAAUGUGGCUUCCAGCCAAGGGCUCAAAACACUCAGGUAUGAACUCUCCUGGUAAGGAUGGUAUUUAACAUUUAGUUAUUUUGUAUCAUAAAAUACAUGAUAAUAGCCAUUUUAACACAUUCUUUGGUCUAGUGACUUGUUUUUAUUCUUACAUUAUGUUUGCAUUAUCAGCUAUUUGGUAUUUUGGAUUAGACCCUGGAAUCACAACAUAGUUUCUGUUUUGGGCAUUGAUGGAGUCGUUGAAACAUAAUGCUAGCCACUAUUUCUAUUUUAAUAUAUGUAUUAAAAAUGACGGUGAAGUUAUAUUAUUAUGAAAAUGAAAUUACCAUUUGAGAUAAAUAUAUUCAUAUAAUCCAAAAAGAUAUCAUACCCAAAUUUUAGAAAAUUUGACCACAUGCGACCCAAAAAUUUCAACCUUGCCUGACUAAAAUAUUUGAUUGCCCGUGAUACGUUGCUGUGGUAUUAUAUGCUGUUCCAUUUAACCAUUUCAGUUCCUUCUAGGUUCCAGAUACAUUUUUAGGUGUUAUUGUUUGACGUGUACUAACAUGAUUGCUUGCACUUUGCUCUGCAGGUCUACUCAAUUGAGGACAGUGAUCAGUGUCUCAUAGGCACUGCUGAAAUUCCUGUUGGAGGCAUCCACAUGGACUCAAUACUUGCUGAAUCUGCUUUGCCUUUAAAAUAUGUAGCAUAUUCACACUGUUUUCGCACGGAAGCUGGUGCAGCAGGUGCUGCCACUAGGUUGGUCUGUUCUCCUUUUACCUUAGGUUACUGUUUUGCUUAUUGAUUUAUGAUGAAGAUUUACCAUUGUACGAGUGUAUAUUUGCUUCUAUUUUUCGGAUGCUUCAAAACUGUGAUAAAAGCAAAUUUUCACAUCCUCUGCAUUGCGAUUAAUUUUACAGUGUGUUUGUUAAGUUGCUAAAUUUAUCAUUUUAUUAUGAACAGGGGCCUCUAUCGGGUACAUCAAUUUAGCAAGGUUGAAAUGUUCAUAUUCUGUCGGCCAGAUGAAAGUGACAAAUUGCAUGAAGAACUUAUUACAAUCGAAGAGGAUCUUUAUGCAUCACUCGGACUCCAUUUCAAGUGCUUCCUAUUCCUUUUAAUUUCUGUGCCAUGCCCAUUUUUGAGACGAAAUUCCAUGCCACAGCUGUACUAAUGCCAGUGCCAACGUUCCCCUUUUAUAGAACUCUGGAUAUGGCAACCGGGGAUCUGGGCGCACCAGCCUACCGAAAAUUUGACAUCGAGGCAUGGAUGCCAGGCCUAGAGCGAUACGGUGAGGUAAGGGGCAAGUUUACCAAGCUUGUAUACGUCUUCUCAACAUUUCCUUGAAUCAUGCUGAUGAUUCCUGAUCAAACUUUGCAGAUCUCCAGUGCAUCAAAUUGUACAGACUACCAAAGUAGGCGACUUGGCAUCCGUUACCGUCCAUCACCCUCGGAGCCUCCGUCAACGAACACCAAGAAAGGGAAGGGAGCUGGCUCAGGCCCUACACAGUUUGUUCACACGCUCAACGCAACAGCAGUGGCGGUGCCUCGUCUGAUAGUCUGCAUUCUAGAGAAUUUUCAGCAGGACGAUGGGUCGAUUGUGGUUCCAGAGCCACUAAGACCCUAUAUGGGUGGACUUGAGGUGAUCUCCCCAAAAUUCGAGUGACCCUCUACAGUCACCCACGGUUGUGCUUGUGGACUUAGAGCUGUCUACAAAUAUACACUACUGAGUUUUGUGAUUGGGGCUCCUGUUUCAUAACUAGUCUUAUCCCCCCCCCCUGUUUUUGAAUAGCACUCUAAUCUGCUGGUGCACAUUAUAUUGGCCAACUACUGUAAUCUGCAUAGCACUACAAACUCAUGUGCAUGAUUUAGCUUUGAGUAAAUUGCACUAUAGGUCCUUAAACUUUCGAUGAACUCCCAUCUAGGUCCUCGAACUAAAAAAGAUAUCAUCUGGGACCUGAAACAAUCUAUCUUUCGCACCAAUGAUCCAAACCAUGCCACGUGCGCGUCGUGAGCUGACGUGGACAUGCCACUAUGAAGACAAGACUCUGGAGACUCGGGCCUGUUGCCCACUUUGCAAGGCUCCAUCUCUCUAUCUCACUCCUAAGCUCUCGUCUCUCCUCCUGUGCGUGCAGGAGGCUGUCAGUUUGGGCUCUGAUGCGGAAGCGUGCUGGCCACCCGCUGCCGUGCUCUACUCGGGCCUACCAGAACACACAAGUGGCAGAGUUUGUGGCCGCAGCUGCUGGCUUCGCAGUGGUGGCUUGAAGUGCUUGUGGUCAAAGUUCGGUAGUAGGGUCACGGCGGUGCUCGCUAGGGAGGCAGCGUUGAGGAGGGCCACAGGGUGCACUGUUGUGCCAAGGAUGAAGGAAGUGUGCUCUCGGACUUGAACAUCGGGAAAGGCAGCAGCAGCUUCAACGCAGAUCCGGCCGACACAGUUCCUCAACAAAUCGACGCGGUAGGGAAGAUUAGGGGGGGGGGGGGGGGGACGACAUGGACGACAAAUCCAUGCUAGAACGGUUUGGGUGCUUUAAAACCAUCCCCGGAGCAGAGCGCUAUGCGAGCCCGUCCUAGCCAUGGUAGGGGCCGACGAGGCGAGGUGCUCUUGCGCGCCAUAGGUGCUGGACAAAGCAUAUGGUAACCAUGACUUUCUUAAAACAAGAUACUAUAGAUGCAAGUACUCAACUUCACGCACAUACAGUCACAUCUAUAUAUCUUACAAACGCCCACCCACGGAACAAAAUGAGAACAUUCAAGAGGUCGGCUGGCACAUCUUGAUAUUGACAAUGUAAUGUGGUAUUAUCUACGUAUUAAUCAAGUAUUUGGAUGUAGUUAUGGUUCAUUUUUUAAUUGAUUAUAUGCAAAGAAGAAAAUUACAAAAUAGACUCAGAUAAACCUCAAUCAAUGUAUUGAUUAUUUUUGGGAAGUUGCACACACUGAUACAAGAACAUUAUUAUCAAGUACAACUCUUCUGUAUUCUAGAAGAUGGCACCUCCAAUGAUGGGUUGCUGCCACAACAAGGAAGGGUUCAUGAAAGACAUCUGGUUGAAUGGCAGCAAUUGUUGUUGCUGUAGGAAGGUGGCCGCCAAUGGGUUAGCCAGUGCCAAUGGGUUAACCUGUAGCAGCUGUUGUUGCUGGUGGUAGGUGGCAGCGGUUGCAACAGCCGACUGAGCAAAUGGAAGUGACUGUGGCUGUUGUAGGUAUGCAGCGGCGUUCGACACAGCUAGUUGGUUGAAUGGAAGUAGCUGUUGCUGUUGAAAGUAGGCGAUAGGGUUCACCACGGACUGUUGUAACUGUUGUUGUUGUUGUAGGUAUGCAAUGGCAUUCACCGCAGCCAGUGGGUUUGUAGGAAGUAGCUGUUGCAGCUGCAAGUAGGUGGCAGGGUUUGGAAUAGCUAGUUGACUGAGCGCUGGUAGGAACUGUUGUUGUUGUAGUUGCGCUACAAUGGUCUGUACUAGUAGGUGAGCCGAGGAUUGCUGUUGCAAUUGGGCAAUUGAUUGUUGUAAGAUGCUCGCCGCGAGCACUUGUUGUAGCCGAUAGGCCUGCACAACUGGGUGUUCAUACCCAACAGCAGUAACUGGUGAGCACUGCGGAAUGAUGAACGCACUUGUAGCACUCACCGUGAGAGCAAGGAGUGCAAGGAGGGCAAAUAUCUUGGCAGCCAUUGUUUCUAAGAUGUUGCUAGUGCGUUUCACUUGGCAACUUUCUAAUUGCUCUCAAUGAUAUGGGUGGUGGAUUAGCUAUCGAUUUGGGCCAAUUUAUACAAGUGAGAGUUCAUGCAUAUCUAUUCAGAUCUCGGAGUUUACUAAAAAAUAGAUGAGCAUGAGAUGACAUGGCACCUAGUCAACUUCGGUGCUUAGUUAUCUAUUUUGUUGGAUUAUAUGGUAUGUGUUGGCAAGAUAGUGUCGAUUAUGUGCUAGGAAAAAGUGCCCUUUUCUAUAGGAGUUCUCUAGAUACACGAGGAAUGGCAUACAUGAUAACUUCACCUUUAUGCAUGACAAAGCCUUAGCCACAUCAUAUUUGUUAGACUUUAUAAACAUGAUGAGUAUGUAAAAUUAUGAUUUGCUCAUGUGAAUCGAAGCCUUUAUCAACAGAGUUUGUUGUAGCAUCGUCCUUAUGGUUGAAGUAUACAAUGUAAUUAUGUGAGAAGUUAUCAACCAGCGAAUGAUCAAUAAUGCUGCAAGGCCACGACUCAUUGAAGUCUCAGUAUGUCUAAAAUGCAUGCGCAUGCAAAGAAUCUAAAAAAUUGGCAUGCGCAUGCUCAUUACUAUCUUGGCCACUACCACAUACUCCCUUUGUUCUGGAGCACAAUUUAGUUUAUUUUUGUGUAAAAGCAAGCUUGUCUAACUUUGAAAAAGUUUUACAUUAGUUUUAACAACAAAAAUGCACUAUCAAGACAUAAUGACAUAUGCAACGAAACAAAGUGAUGUUCAAGGUUUUUGGUAAAUUUCUAUGAAAUAUGUCAAAGUUAGGUAAGAUUACCUUAGGGAAAAGAUAGAGCAAGUAAUAAAUUGGAGCGGAGGAGGUAUAUGUUGAACUCUACCUCUUGACUCAAAUAGAUGUGCAUCUAAUUUUCACUAAAGUCAAACUUAAAUUAUUUCCAUAUAGUAAGGAGAAUGAUAAAUUUGAUGCGGCUUUUGUUCCUUCCACCACCUAUGAUAUGAAUCUGCCUUCAAUAUACAGGUGAAGAGGAUAAUAGCCAACCUCGUAGCUAUUCGAAACAAAUAUCUCUUUGUGCUCAAAGGCAUAGAUCCAUUCAAGAAUAAAAACAACAUGGCCAUUGACAUAAACCUUGCUCAGCUAUGCUACAAAAACUCAAGAUAAAGGAGACUGAGAUGGGUGUUGUGUUGAUUUUUUAGGAGAAACACUAUAACAUCUGGACUUGGAAGUUUCAUGAAAACACACUCCUUCAUAUUCGUUUUCACUAGAACAAUGAGCACAUUGGUACACAUAAUUAAUUCCUUGGAGUUGACUCAAAUAUAUUUUAGAUUUUGUUUCACAUGAGUAGAAUCUCGUCCGAAAGAAUUUGGGGAACAUUGGGAUAAUAACCGUAAUCGCUAGGACUAGACAACAAGUUUAGGCUAAGGAAAUCUAAAAUGGCUGAAGACAUUUAAAAAUAAUAACUUCUAUUGACACAAAAUUAGAGUGAGACCAAUAAAAUCUUCAUGGCUUGAUUUACUAUUCCUUGUUCAUUUAUAAAGGAAUGUAUUUCAUGUUUCUACAAUAAUUUGCUUUAUGGGUGCUCACAUAGAUAUGAUAAGAUAUCUUUUCAACUUUUAUAUGACAUGCGAGUUAAGGUUACAUUGAUGACAGUGUUACAAACUACCUCUAGUAAACUAUCUUGUAGGUAAUAAACUUGUUCAUUUGUUUAGUUUUAACAUUUUAGAACAUGAACGUUUUCACAUUCAACACAUAGAUGCAAACUGCAAUCCAUUGAACUAAUCUAGGUGUCAUAAUGGCACUCUAUGUGGGUUCUCUCUGCAGAACAGCAGAAUGACGGUGGAUGGUUGGUACUUUAAUCUCGGGACAUUACUUUUGGGUUUUGAUAGCUCCACUCUAAAUCAUAUUUUACUAGGUACGGUGUCCAUCAGAAAAGAUCCUAUCUUUCAUAAUGCUACCUAGCAAAAAUGUGAGCUACAAUGUUGAGCAGUCAAUUUGACGUAGGUUUGAUGUCCCUCUGUAAAAUUGUCUCUGGCAUAUUCUUGGGAUAUUAAACUUCACGUUCAUGAUAAUUUUUUUUGGCAUCAAGUAUUAUACUUUGUUGUUAAUUGUUAAUGAUAGGGUCUAGUUGAUUUAAUGCCCUUGGCCUUGUCAAGUUCGUGGGCUCCAAUUAUUUCCUUAUUUUUCUACAAUAUUAUGGAGUCUUGCAUAAUUUUGCUCCAAGAUAAAAACAUAUGCACCAAAUAUUUACUAGAAACAAUAAUUAAGAGGUGUGACUUUGCAUAUCAACUUUGCACGCAUAUAUACGUUUACUCAUGAAUUUCUAUUAUGUUUUCCUUUGUGUACAUGUAUCUGACUUCAAAGAUAUUCGUCAAAGCAUAUGUGGCCAUGACUUUCUUAAAACAAGAUAUUGUAGAUGCAAGUACUCAACUCCACGCAAGUACUCAACUCCACGCAAGUACUCAACUCCACGCACAUACAGUCACAUCUAUAUAUCUCACAAACACCCACACACAGUACCAAAUGAGAAAAUUCAAGGGGGUUGGCUGGCACAUCUUGAUAUUGACAAUGUAAUGUCGUAUUGUCUACGUAUUAAUCAAGCAUUUGGCUGUAAUUAUGGUUCAUUUUUUAAUUGAUUAUAUACAAAGAAGAAAAUUACGGAAUAGACUCAGAUAAAUCUCAAUCAAUGUAUUGAUUAUUUGUGAGAAGUUGCACACGCUGAUACAAGAACAUUGUUAUCAAGUACAACUCUUUUGUAUUCUAGAAGAUGGCACCUCCAACGAUGGGUUGCUGCCACAACAAGGAAGGGUUCUUAAAAGACAUCUGGUUGAAUGGCAGCAAUUGUUGUUGCUGCAGGAAGGCGGCAGCCAAUGGGUUAGCCAGUGCCAAUGGGUUAACCGGUAGCAGCUGCUGUUGCUGGUGGUAGGUGGCAGCGGUUGCAACAGCCGACUGGGCAAAUGGAAGCGGUUGUGGCUGUUGCAGGUAUGCAGCGGUGUUCGGCACAGCUAGUUGGUUGAAUGGAAGUAGCUGUUGCUGUUGUAAGUAGGCGGCAGGGUUUGCCACGACUAGUUGACUGAGCGCUGGCAGGAUCUGUUGUAACUGUUGUUGUUGUGGUAGGUAUGCAAUGGCAUUCGACGCAGCCAAUGGGUUUGUAGGAAGUAGUUGUUGCAGCUGCAAGUAGGCGGUAGGGUUCGGAAUAGCUAGUUGACUGAGCACUGGUAGGAACUGUCGUUGUUGUCGUUGCGCUACAAUGGUCUGUUCUAGUAGGUGAGCCGAGGAUUGCUGUUGCAAUUGGGCAAUUGGUUGUUGUAAGAUGCUCGCCGCGAGCACCUGUUGUAGCCGAUAGGCCUGCACAACUGGGUGUUCAUACCCCGUAGCAGUAAUCGGUGAGCACUGCGGAAUGAUGAACGCAGUUGUAGCACUCACUAAGAGAGCAAGGAGUGCAAGGAGGGCAAAUAUCUUGGCAGCCAUUAUUUGCUAGUGCGUUUCACUUGGCUUGUUUCUGAUUGCUCUCAAUGAUAUGGGUUGUGGAUUAGAUAUUGAUUUGGUCCUAUUUAUAUAAGUGAGAGUUCAUGCAUAUCUAUUCAGAUCUCAGAGUUUACUAAAAAGCGGAUUAGCUUCAGAUGACAUGGCACCUAGUCAACUUCGGUGCUUAGUUAUCUAUUUUGUUGGAUUAUAUGGUAUGUGUUGGCAAGAUAGUGUCGACUAUGUGCUGUGAAAAAGUGCCCUUUUCUAUAGGAGUUCUCUAGAUACACGAGGAAUGACAUACAUGAUGACUUCACUUUUAAGCAUGACAAAGCCUUAGCCACAUCAUAUUUGUUAGACUUUAUAAACAUGAUAAGUAUGUAAAGUUAUGACUUGCUCAUGUGAAUCGAAGCCUUUAUCAAUAGACUUUGUUGUAGCAUCAUAGUUAUGGUUGAAGUAUACGUUGUAAUUAUGUGAGAAGUUGUCCAACAGCGAAUGAACAUUAAUGUUGCAAGGCCAUGGCUCAUUGAAGUCUCAGUACGUCCAAAAUGCAUGCACAUGCAAAGAAUGUAAAAAAUUUGCAUGCUCAUUACUAUCUUGGCCACUGCCACACACUCCCUUUGUUCUAGAGAACAAUUUAGUUUAUUUUUGUGUAAAAGCAAGCUUGUCUAACUUUGAAAUAGUUUUAAAUUUGUUUUAACAACAAAAAUGCACUAUCAAGACAUAUACAAUGAAGAAUUCAAUGAAACAAACUUGAUGUUCAAGGUUUUUGGUAAAUUUCUAUGAAAUAUGUCAAAGCUAGGUAAGUUUACCUUAGGGAAAAGCUAGAGCAAGUAAUAAAUUGGAGCGGAGGGGGUAUAUGUUGAACUCUACCUCUUGACUCAAAUAGAUGUGCAUCUAAUUUUCACUAAAGUCAAACUUAAAUUAUUUCCAUAUAGUAAGGAGAAUGAUAAAUUUGAUGCGGCUUUUGUUCCUUCCACCACCUAUGAUAUGAAUCUGCCUUCAAUAUACAGGUGAAGAGGAUAAUAGCCAACCUCGUAGCUAUUCGAAACAAAUAUCUCUUUGUGCUCAAAGGCAUAGAUCCAUUCAAGAAUAAAAACAACAUGGCCAUUGACAUAAACCUUGCUCAGCUAUGCUACAAAAACUCAAGAUAAAGGAGACUGAGAUGGGUGUUGUGUUGAUUUUUUAGGAGAAACACUAUAACAUCUGGACUUGGAAGUUUCAUGAAAACACACUCCUUCAUAUUCGUUUUCACUAGAACAAUGAGCACAUUGGUACACAUAAUUAAUUCCUUGGAGUUGACUCAAAUAUAUUUUAGAUUUUGUUUCACAUGAGUAGAAUCUCGUCCGAAAGAAUUUGGGGAACAUUGGGAUAAUAACCGUAAUCGCUAGGACUAGACAAUAAGUUUAGGCUAAGGAAAUCUAAAAUGGCUGAAGACAUUUAAAAAUAAUAACUUCUAUUGACACAAAAUUAGAGUGAGACCAAUAAAAUCUUCAUGGCUUGAUUUACUAUUCCUUGUUCAUUUAUAAAGGUAUAUAUUUCAUGAUACUACAAUAAUUUGCUCUAUGGGUGCUCACAUAAAUAUGAUAAGAUAUUUUUUCAACUUUUAUAUGACAUGCGAGUUAAGGUUACAUUGAUGAUAGUGUUACAAACUACCCCUAGUAAAUUAUCUUGUAGGUAAACUUGUUCAUUUGUUUAGUUUUAACAUUUUAGAACAUGAACGUUUUCACAUUCAACACUGUUGAUGGUGGUUAACGUCAACUUUCAUUAGAACUUUAAACCCAAAAGAAAACAUGAAAACACACCAGUCUAGGGUUUUAACUGACAAUUUCCACGAGUUUCGCAUAUUCUGUAUUUUCUAGGGUGAAUUUCAUGAAAGCCGAAAAGAGGGAUUCUAGUGCAAAAUAAACACGAAACUUAUCCACCACGGCAACAUCGCAAACGGGACGUGGGAAGACUCUGGAAGACACCCAAAGAGCCAGGGGGGCAGAGGCCGCCAGGUGGGGCCGGCCGGCCCCACCCUAGCGCCGGCCGGUGCCCUCUACAAGGGUUUCGGCCCCCCUUCUGGAAGCUUCCUCCAGGGCCUACGAUGAGUCAUCUUGGCCUUUGGUUAAAUCGGUUUGAUCCUGCGGCGCACGUCGAUCCAACCGGGAUAUAAAUAAAGUGGCAGACCCCCCUCCCUGAGGGCACCACAUUAUGGAGAUGUAGAGGCGUCCCUCGAAUGGAUGACCUCUCACCUCUAGAGAAUUAGGGCUAGACUUUCCAAUGUAGUAGAUUAGUUCUAGUUGAGAGUUAGCGAGAGCGGCGCUACGCCCGGGUUCUGGAGGAGUCUUCGGAGGAGUCAUCAGAGUUCUGGUAUAUCUUUGUAUCCUUGCUUUAAUAUAUUUUUUCUUCUCUAUUUACUUUUAUGCAUUACAUUUGAUUGGUUAGUAUAGUUGUUAUACUUUAGCAUAGGAUCUCCGCUCGCAUCGGGUGCUCUAAUUAUUAAUUGUGACUAGAGUAGUAGUUUGUAGUAGAGACAUGGUGUCUAGACUAUAGGUUACCUGAGAUUGCACCCAGUUCUACGGAUAGUUGUGGUAGCCCCAGGUGGUGACAGCCCUGACGGCCAACGUAUUCCACCACAUUUGGAUUGGUGUUGUAGGACCGUAGUCAGAUCAUCCUAGCCCCCUUCUCAUCUGUCUGUGGCUAAGUGCUCUGAUGUCCCGAAGUGUUAUUGUGUGAUUGCUUUACCUACCAUGAAUUAGUUAUUAUAGAACCCUAGUAAUAGAGAAGUAUUUGGGAACCUUAAACUCUCCCGUUGUUCUAUCACUUUAGCUAUCUACUCUUUUAUCAUAAGAAUUCUCGGGUGUGUGUCAUAUAUGCAUAAUUCCUAUCAUCGGUUACUUACCCCUACUUAAGUCUAGUUGGUGUAUUAGUUAGUAGAUACAUGAUGGUGAACUAUCAAUAUCUUUAUUCAUUGUUUCCCAGUGGUAAGAUAUAAAUAACGAUACCUGGAAUACUCCUAGUAAAAUGCUACAAUGGUUUUCUGCGCGCUUGCAGAAUCCUUCAUAUUUUAACUGUGCAUAAGAAAUACCAACAAACACCAAGAUGCAAACUGCAAUCCAUUGAACUAAUCUAGGUUUCAUAGUGGCACUCUAUGCGGGUUCUCUCUGUAGAACAGCGGUGGAUGGUUGGUACUUUAAUCUCAGGACAUUACUUUUGGGUUUUGAUAGCUCCACUCUAAAUCAUAUUUUACUGGGUACGGUGUCCAUCAGAAAAGAUCCCAUCUUUCAUAAUGCUACCUAGCAAAAAUGUGAGCUACAGUGUUGAGCAGUCAAUUUGACGCAGGUUUGGUGUCCCUCUGUAAAAUUGUCUCUGGCAUAUUCGUGGGAUAUUAAACUUCACGUUCAUGAUAAAUUAUUUUGGCAUCAAGUUUAAUACUUUGUUGCUAAUUGUUAAUGAUAAGGUGUAGUGUAUUUAGUGCCCUUGGCCUUGUCAAGUUCGUGGGCUCCAAUUAUUUCCUUAUUUUUCUACAAUAUUAUGGCGUCUUGCACAAUUUUGCUCCAAGAUAAAAACAUAUGCACCAAAUAUUUACUAGAAACAAUAAUUAAGAGGUAUGACUUUGCAUAUCAACUUUGCACGCAUAUAUAUGUUUACUCAUGAAUUUCUAUUAUGCUUUCCUUUGUGUACAUGUAUCUGACUUCAAAGAUAAUGGUCAAAGCAUAUGUGGCCAUGAUUUUCUUAAAACAAGAUACUAUAGAUGCAAGUACUCAACUCCAUGCACAUACAGUCACAUCUAUAUAUCUCACAAACACCCACGCACAGAACCAAAUGAGAACAUUCAAGGUUUGGCUGGCACAUCUUGAUAUUGACAAUGUAAUGUCGUAUUGUGUACGUAUUAAUAAAGCAUUUGGCUGUAAUUAUGGUUCAUUUUUAAUUGAUUAUAUACAAAGAAGAAAAUUAUGGAAUAGACUCAGAUAAAUCUCAAUCAAUGUAUUGAUUAUUUCCGAGAAGUUGCACACGCUGAUACAAGAAUAUUGUUAUCAAGUACAACUCUUUUGUAUUCUAGAAGAUGGCACCUCCAACGAUGGGUUGCUGCCACAACAAGGAAGGGUUCUUAAAAGACAUCUGGUUGAAUGGCAGCAAUUGUUGUUGCUGCAGGAAGGCGGCAGCCAAUGGGUUAGCCAGUGCCAAUGGGUUAACCGGUAGCAGCUGCUGUUGCUGGUGGUAGGUGGCAGCGGUUGCAACAGCCGACUGGGCAAAUGGAAGCGGUUGUGGCUGUUGCAGGUAUGCAGCGGUGUUCGGCACAGCUAGUUGGUUGAAUGGAAGUAGCUGUUGCUGUUGUAAGUAGGCGGCAGGGUUUGCCACGACUAGUUGACUGAGCGCUGGCAGGAUCUGUUGUAACUGUUGUUGUUGUGGUAGGUAUGCAAUGGCAUUCGACGCAGCCAAUGGGUUUGUAGGAAGUAGUUGUUGCAGCUGCAAGUAGGCGGUAGGGUUUGGAAUAGCUAGUUGACUAAACGCUGGUAGGAACUGUUGUUGUUGUAGUUGCGCUACAAUGGUCUGUACUAGUAGUUGAGCCGAGGAUUGCUGUUGCAAUUGGACAAUUGGUUGUUGUAAGAUGCUCGCCGUGAGCACCUGUUGUUGCCGAUAGGCCUGCACAAUUGGGUGUUCAUACCCCGCAGCAGUAACCGGUGAGCACUGCGGAAUGAUGAACGCACUUGUAGCACUCACUAGGAGAGCAAGGAGUGCAAGGAGGGCAAAUAUCUUGGGAGCCAUUGUUUCUAUGAUGUUGCUAGUGCGUUUCACUUGGCUUGUUUCUGAUUGCUCUCAAUGAUAUGGGUGGUGGAUUAGAUAUGGAUUUGGGCCUAUUUAUACAAGUGAGAGUUAAUGCAUAUCUAUUCAGAUCUCGGAGUUUACUAAAAAAAUGGAUGAGCUUCAAAUGACAUGGCACCUAGUCAACUUCGGUGCUUAGUUAUCUAUUUUGUUGGAUUAUAUGGUAUGUGUUGGCAAGAUAGUGUCGACUAUGUGCUGUGAAAAAGUGCCCUUUUCUAUAGGAGUUCUCUAGAUACAUGAGGAAUGACAUACAUGAUGACUUCACUUUUAUGCAUGACAAAGCCUUAGCUGCAUCAUAUUUGUUCUACUUUAUAAACAUGAUAAGCAUGUAAAGUUAUGACUUGCUCAUGUGAAUCAAAGUGUAAUGCCCUGGAUAGGAACACUACCGCCGAAGGCUUCCAACAACAUCUAAAUUUUAUUAUGUUUGCAAAUCAUUUAAAAUUUUGGCAGAGUUUCCCUAGUAUUUUGGGCAUCUAAACAGGUAAAUCACGUUACAAUGACGAUAUAAUCACCCAACAAUAUCUUGUUAAGCAUCCUAACCAACCAUUAAGCAACCUCUUGUUAAGCUAAACAUAUGUAAACUAGGUGUUUGUAUCAUGAAGGUGCUACUCCCGGUUCCCAUGCAUGCUGUUGUCAUUUGGUACCUAAAAACCAAAUAAACACAAGGGUGAGUAAAAACACUUGGUAAGUGCAAUUAGAACCGAAAGAAGAAAUUCAACGUUGUCCAUGAACAAAAUAUCAGAAUAUCCAUAGACAAUAGUUUAUGUGUGAAAUAGAUUAACUUGAAACCUUAGCAUUUACCGGUAAAGCCAAGCAAGUGGGGCCAACAUAAGAACCAAAUUGCACCUCCGGAUAAACAGGCACCAGAAUUGAAUGUAAAAGAAAUCAAGAAACUUGAACUUGAAUAUAAAAAGCAAAUUGCACAUGUGGAUCCACCGGAACAGGAAUUGAAUUUAAAGGAACAAUCGAAACUUGAAUUACAUAGCACACGUGAAACAACUAAAUCAAUUGAAAACUCAACAAUAGGCAUAAGCCCAUCCAUAGGUUCCUCAUGCACUUUCCUUAAGGGCUUGUUAAGUUUGGCGAGAAUCCAGCAUUCUUGCCACCCUCGGUAACAGCGCUUCCCAAACCUGAGGAGCAAACUGCCUUAGAAACUCAAUUAAACCUCUCAGUCGAACCCUAAUAUGUGAAUUCUCAUAUUUUUAGAAGACCCAAUAAAAUUUGAGUUCCUCGCUGCUUUGACCAUAACUCUCAAUUCUGUUAUCCAAAUUCAGCAAAUAAAUACAUGUCAGACAUGUACAGAAAAUUUUCUAUAAUUUGGUUUAGAAAUCCAGGACCAAUUCUGUCUCUGAAUACCUCGAAAAUAGAUCCCCAUUAGUCUAACGUUUUCUAUUCCUCCUCUUUCUUGCCUGUCACACCCCUCGCCGCCAACGCUUACGCCGUCGACGUGAGCGAUUAAGAGAUACAGAUCGGGCGAGGAACGCCGGCGAGGAAUCUUCCUCUGCCUUGCGUGUUCUAUUUUUCAAUGUCUGGAUGAUUGUUCCCCUCCACGGGUUGGGCACUUAUGUGCCAGAUACAGAGUUGGCCUUGGGCCCACAAGUCAUACACUAGAAUUGAAAACGUAAAACACAGCUACACUUCUUCUAUGCGAUGGUGUCUUCUUGGUAUUCUCUUUCUGCUAUUUCCCUUUGCCUCCGCGACGACAGUGGCCUCCCAGGAUCUACGCGCCAGCAGUAGCUAGCUAGCCUUGCUACUUCCCAGCAGCUUCACGUACUUAGCAGCACCAAGAUUAGAUGAAAGCAACUCACGGGAAAACAAUAACUAAAGUAGCAACUGAGAUACAGAAGCAAGGAUGCCUUUCUUUUUAUGAUCUAAAUUUAACGGUGGUUCCUCCUAAAUUCAUCCAACCUCCAGACAAAACAUGUUAGUAGUAAAAUGAAUUCGCUUCGACGAGAUCCACACAACCACGCACGGUGUCCGAUCGUCCAUAAGAUUCCCGGUUCAAAUACUCAAAAUUUGAUCAUCUCAUAGUGUCCGUUCGGUCAACUUAUUAAUUUUGUUUUGAAAAAUUCGGGAUAUUACACAAUGCCUUUAUCAACGGACUUUGUUGUAGCAUUGUAGAUCGUACUCAUCAUGGUUGAAGUAUAUACAGUAACUUCUUUUUAAAUUUGAGGAGACCUCCACCGGCUAUAGUGCAGUGUCUAUAUUGUAUUUCGGUUCCUCGUAUAUUACCAAAUUAUAUGUAGAUUGAUGGUUUGAGACUCUAAACAAUUUGAAAUCAAAAAGUUGUCAAGUCAACUAUAAAGUUUUAUAACUUUUAGAGAUCUAUAAUUUUUAUUUAGGGAGUUUCUCCAUCCGAGAUCGUUUACAAAAUUUGAAUUUCAAAUUUGAGAAAUUCAAACGUAGUUUUUGCAUGAUAAGAUGUUUUCAAAUGAAAAAUUUGUCAACUACAAAGUUUCAUAACUUUUUGAUAUCUACAAAGGUUACUUAGGGAGUUUUUUCAUCCGAGGUCAUUUGAAAAAUUCAAAUUUUCAAUUUUCAAAUAAAGACGCAGUUUUGCAUGACAAGAUGAACUCAAAUGAAAAAGUUGAUAACUACAAAGUUUCAUAACUUGCCGAUAUCUACAAAGUUUAUUUAGAGAGUUUUCCCAUCUGAGGUCAUUUCAAAAAUUUGAAUUUUAAAAUUUUUAAAUAAAUACAUAGUUUUGCAUGAGAAGAUGAACUCAAAUGGAAAAGUUGUCAACUACAAAAUUUCAUAACUUCUUAAGAUCUACAAUGUUUAUUAUAGUUGUUUGAUCAUUUGUUCAACCAACAUGGUGAUUCUAACAUUUUUCACAAAACUUAUAUAUCUCUCUUGCAGUUUCAUAAACUAUAAGAAAGAUAUGUAAAAUUUGUGAAUAAAUUUAUUUUUUUCACUUUGUCAAAUGAUAAAAUGAGAAAAAUAAAGGUUGUAGAUCUUGAGAAGUUAUACAACUUUGUAAUUGAAAACUUUUUGAUUUAAAUUCGUUUAGGGCUUCAAAAUUCGAUUUGAAAUUUUCUUUACCGAGUAUUUUUUUUUACACUCGGCAAAGAAGGUCUUCACCAAGUGUUAGAAAAAAAAACACUUGACAAAGAGGCUUCUUUGCCGAGUGUAAAAGAACACUCGGCAAAGAAAGUCUUUGCCUAGUGUUAAAAAAAAAACACUCAACAAAGAGGCUUCUUUGCCGAGUAUAAACAAAACACUCGGAAAAGAGCCAAAUUCCGGUAGUGAAUUGAAGUCCCAGUACGUAUAAAAUGCAUGCACACACAUAUAAUAUAAGAAAUUGGAAUGCUUAUUACUAUCUUUGGCCACUCCCACACACUCCCUUUUCUGGAUUAGAAUUCACUUUAUUUUUUGUCUAAAAUCAAAAGCUUGUGUAACUUUGAAAAAUGUUUUAAAUAAAUCUUGACAACAAAAAUUGCACUAUCAAGAGCACAACGUUCAAUGGCAUCUCGACGAAUCUGGUGGUAUACAUGGAGACCGUCCUCCAUGGCAGCAACCAUGGCAGUGCAUGCAUGCCUCCUCACCACGUGGUACGGCACCAGCUAUAAGCCUAUAUAUACCUCACGCCCAUCUUUCUUCAGCUGGUUCUACCUCUGCGUCGACUUCGGCCCCAUCGUGUCCGGCCGGUCUCCUCAUCGUGUGCAACGUUAGCUGGGGGCCUCGGCUUCGGCAUCGCCACGGCCUGCAUCGCGCUAGCCUUCCUGCUGCGCCUGCUGCCCCAUCUGGGUGACCAGCGUCAUCGUGUCCUCGACGUACACGCAGAUGUAUACCACCUUCGUCCAAAUUUGUAGUGGUUUUUGAUGUAAAUGUAACAGUGUAACACAGAGUAUAAAGUAUAAACCGUAGUUCUUUACCUACUGGUUCCCGUUCCCAUGUCCAAUCCCUGAUCAACGAGGACUCCAGCUCGGCUGCUCGAGACAACUGAUCGAUCGAUUCCGAAAAGGAAGAGCAGACUCCGUGGAUUCUAACCGGAUUAGCUAGACGAUCAACUCGAACUAUGCAAAUCCUUAGGAGUAGUAUAUAACCAGACGAUGCACGCCGUGGGAUUAAUUUACAACCGCAAGAUAGGAAGCUAGUUUUCAGCAGCCAUAUAGCUAGUUGCAGUACACGUUCUCCCUUGCCAAAAGCAACAAGAAGCAUCGCGGCAAUUCUAUCGAUCGGGCACGUACGCCGGAUGGCAGCUGCUGACGCGAUGGCCGGAGCGGCGGCUACAGACGACGAUGGAGCCGCCGUGGCGAUGGUAAAGAUGGCGGAGAUGCCGGUGGAGUUUCUCCGGUGGGUGAUGGCGCAGGACAAGGAGGACUACCGCGUGCCUACGCUGGAGGACUACACGCAGGAGGAGGUCGCCGAGGCCAAGGACACCAUCUGCACCGUCAUCGGCUGCUUGCAGGUCGCGUACGACGAGUUCGACGAGUUCCGGGCCUGGGUCGGCGACGUGAUCGAGAACGACGGCUGCGUGAUGAUCCACGAGGACAUGCUCUUCUCGGAUCCCAAAGAAUGGCAGGAAAGCGUCGACCAGGAGUGGGCAGAGGCAAGGCAGGAGCUGGAGAUGGAGCUGACGAAACCACUCGGCCAGCACCUGUGCAUGUUGUCUACGUAUCUUUCGCUCUUGUACCACUAUGCAGCGCCCAUCCCGACAUUUUGGGGGCCUUAGCUAUAUAUAUGGGUGAGAAAAGUUAAUAUUAUUAAGGCCAAUAACCAAUGUCGUAGAGACGGUAAGAACUACCGACAUGUUUUUUUUUUCAUAUUUUUGUUUAGUUUUUAAAUUUUCCAUUUACUUUUUUUUUCAUAUUUUCGUUUAGAAUGAAUAGUUUGUUUUCAUUUUCCAACAAGACUUAUUUUGGAUUUUUGCCAAAAAAAAUAGUAAGAUAAUCUAGAGAUGACGUGGUAUCUAGUUGGUUUUGAUAUUUAGUGGCCACUUUGUUGGGUUAUAUACUUUAUACGUCGGCAAGACAAUGUAACUUUGUUGGGUUAUACUUUAUAUGUCGGCAAGACAAUCUCCACAAAAUACAAUGAUCCUCUUGGCAUUUUCCAAAUACAUGGGUGACAAUAUGGCACAAUCCGUUUACCUUUACUCGUGUGUAACCUUAGCCACAUAUGGUGCUACUUUUCUUUGCGGCAGACGCUCACAUACACGAGCACACACUCAGUCCUAUAAAUGCACGCAUGCAAGUUAUUUUGCACUAUAGCCGAUGAGAUGAACCAUUCAUGCAAAAUAAAAGAAGUGGAGAGGAAGGGUAUAUGCUGCGCUGAAAUUGGAUAUGAGUAAGGCUUAUGAUAGAGUGGAGUGGCCUUUUAUAGAGAAGAUUAUGAGAAGAGGCUGGGUUUUCAUGAAAGAUGGAUAAUACUGAUUAUGACAUGUAUUACAACAGUCACUUAUCGCAUACAGGUGAAUAGUGGUUUGACUGAACAAAUCAUUUAUUCUAGAGGGUCUAGGCAGGGGGAUCCAAUUUCCCCGUAUUUAUUCUUGCUGUGUGCGGAAGGUUUUUUCAUCCUUGCUAAAUGAUGCCGAGAUGAAUGGAAGAAGUCAGGGGGUCUCGAUAUGUUCUGGAGCUCCUAGCAUAACUCACCUUUUGUUUGCAGAUGAUUCGUUGCUUCUCUUAAAAGCAAAUGAUGGGAAUGCAGCACAUCUGCGACAUGUUCUACAAAUUUAUGAGAUAUGCUCGGGGCAGAAAAUUAACAAAGAGAAAUCCUCUAUUGUGUUUAGUAAGAACACCCAGCCACAGGCAAAAUGGAGAUUCAUGGAAAUUCUUGAUCUUGCACAAGAGUCAAUGAAUGAAAGGUACUUGGGUUUGCCAGUAUAUAUGGGGAGAUCAAAAGCAAGUGUGUUUGGAAACGGAUACAGGGUUGGAAGGAAAAGUUGCUAUCAAAGGCCGACAAAGAAACUUUGAUCAAGGCGGUGGCACACACUACUACAGGAUUGAUUAACCGCAACGAGACCAUUUCCACCUCCGUGACGGGCACAGUUUUUGCCCGCCACGGUUAUUCAACCGCACGCGUAUAGGCCCGGCCACAGGAAAGCUAUAUUUUUUUUCUAGAUUCUUAAUGGAUCCAUAUGAAACCUUCUUUGUUCGAUGUGUAACGGUUCGCAGGCACGAGAUGGAUAGGUCGGAAUGGAUGUAUGGGAUGAAUCGGGUGCUUGACCCGCGGUACCUUGUCGAAGUGAGGAAGUUUAUUGCCACGGCGAAAGCUCACCGUGAGAGAUCGAAGCGGACGACAACCAUAUGUCCAUGUUCUCACUGCAAGAACCUCACAGCCUUCACGAAAGAAGGUACGGUGCAGUCUCACUUGAUUCGGUUUGGUUUCAUGGAGGGUUACACAGUCUGGACUCAUCACGGUGAAAGAGUGGACCCCAGUGGUGAUGCAUCCGGUUUGAGCUCGACGUCGACGACCAUGAACCAAGAACCUAGAGCGCCCAUCUCAUCUCCAACGACUGCAGGGCCAACCUUUGGCAACAACGACAACAUUGAUUCAGACAGAGUGGAGGAUAUACUCGGGGAGAUGGCAGAUGUUGUUGCAGAUGGCGAGGCGGCUACCAUGCAGGAACCGGAGGAUAUCGAGGUGAUCGAGGGUUUAGUCAGCCACAUCGAUGAAGACGACGUUGUGUAUGGCUCCCCUAAGUGGUUGGAAAAUUUUAGGGAGAUGAAGCAGACUGCACUUGAUCCACUGUAUAAGGACGGCGGUAAUUGUCCAAAGGAGUGUACGGUGCUCCGGUUCAACCUCCACAUGUUGAUGAUGAAGGCCCGGCAUGGCUGGUCUGAUACUAGCUUCAAUGAGCUGUUAAGUUACCUUGCUACCACGUACCCGACGGGUAACAAGGUCCCCGCAAAUACCUAUCAUGCGAAGAAGUUGAUUCGUCCAGUUGCGAUGAAACUUAGAAAGUUUGAUGCCUGCCCCAACCACUGCAUCCUGUAUCGAGGCAAGGAGUAUGAGAAUAUGACGAGUUGUCCGCACUGCGGCGCCAGUCGCUACAAGAGGAAUGCUGGAUGUCGUGUGGACGAAGACGACGAUGUGGCCUUACGGGGUCGUCCGAAGAGGAAGAAGGGAGCCAAGAAUAGCAGUGCCGCCGCCAAUCGCAUCUCAUCUCAGCAAGAUGAGGAAGAAGAGGGUUACACGCGGAGGAAAAGUCCAGCACUAUCGUUGUGGUACCUGCCUGUGACCGACCGCUUGCGUGCACUAUUCGGGAACCCAGAGGAUGCCAAGCUCAUGUCCUGGCAUGCAUCAGCUGACCGCAAGAAGGAUGAUGGCAUGCUGCGGCACCCAUCCAAUGGCCAACAGUGGAAAGAUUUUGACAAGGCAUACCCGGAAUUUGGUAAGGAUCCUAGGAACGUUCGGCUCGCGCUGAGUACUGAUGGGAUGAACCCUUUUGGUGAGCUUAGCAGCUCGCACAGCACCUGGCCGGUUGUACUCACCGUCUACAACCUACCUUCCCAUCUGUGUCAAAGGCGAAGGUAUCUUAUGCUGACCAUGCUUAUCUCAGGACCGAAGCAGCCUGGUAACGAUAUCGAUGUCUUCCUAGAGCCGUUGAUGGAGGAAAUGCAGGAGUUAUUUGAUGUUGGGGUAGAGAUGAUUGAUGCAUCCCGCAAAGAGAAGUUUACCCUAAAAGCCAUCAUCAUUGUCAGCAUCACCGAUUACCCCGGUCUCUUCUCACUAUCAGGGCAGAUCAAAGGGAAGACCGGCUGCGUAGUGUGCAUCGACGGGACCUACUACACUUAUCUCCAGGGAUAUCACAAGAUGGUGUACAUGAGGCAUAGACGGUUCCUCGUCAAGAAGCACAGGUACAGAAGAAGUGUUAUGAAUCAGUUCUUCGCUGAUGAGGAAGAGCCGCAGGGUGAAGCACCAGCUGUGGGGGUAUAAACCCCUAUACCCUUACGGCUAGACUUGGGCCAGAAGGCUUGGCCCAUUACAAGACAAGCUCAAGGUUUGGUCCGACAGCUUGGAGUUUCGCGCAAGGAAACAAGACGUGGAGAUCAAGAAGGAUUCUAGUCGGUUAGAAUAGAAAUUGAUAUCAAACUAUCUAUGGCAAUUGUAACCGACUAGGAUUAGUUUCCAGAUCUGUAACCCUGUCCUCCGGACUAUAUAAGGAGAGGCAAGGGACCCCCCUAGGACAUCAUAUUCUCUCAACACAAAUCAAUACGACCAGACGCAGGACGUAGGUAUUACGCCAACUCGGCGGCCGAACCUGGAUAAAAAGCUUGUCCGUGUCUUGCGUCACCAUCAAGUUCGUAGUUUGCGCACCGUCUACCGAUAAACUACUACCGUGGGUAUACCCCAAGGUAGACUGCCGACUAGCUUUCGUCGACAGUGGCGCGCCAGGUAGGGGGUGUGCGUGCAACUUCUCCGGCGAACAAGAUGGUUACGAUCCCAGCUUCCGCGACCGUGCCUGAAGGCCUCACGUUCACCGUCAGCCAGAUCACGUGGACGACGUGCAGCGGCGGCCUCACGACCACGGUUUCGAAAGAAACUCAGAUCCGAUCUGAGAUCACGCCGUCUCCGACCACUCGCGUGGCGGCACCGAGCGCCCGACCACCGUUCCCGCUCUACAAGGGAAAGAAGAUUGACUGCUCGGACCUUCUCCAAGCGCUUGAUCGCGCUGACUCCAAGCUACUUGAAGCCUCCCAACUAGUAGACGGAGUCCUACGUCAGCCUGAUCAAGCUGCUCCAACGGAUUUUUUCAAAUCCCGCCGGCCAACUCGUGUCGUUACACACGAACGGCUGGGAACGUCUCUGACGAUAACCUCAACCCCCUCAGGACGAUCCGUCAAGCUCAAGAAGGGAGAUCAUCCUUGCGGCCUGAACAACUCAGCCUCUCUUUACUCACGGCACAUCCAAUCCGUUUUCAGCAAGGCGGGUUGGCCGCCGAAAAGGAACGGUCGUCACUACGUCAACGUGGUGGCAAUCCGAGAACUACGGGACGGCCAGGCUUCCAGCACGAACUCGAGCACCGGUUCCGUCACCACCGAAGUUAUAAACACCGAAGACGAGGACUACGACCUGGAUUUGCCUUCGCACCCUCCGGAUUUCCCUCGUUUCCCGGUAUUCCCCCCUCGGCGAGGAGAUAUUGUCUUCAACGUCAGCGCCGACGAACCGGUCGUCGAUGGAGAAACGGAUGAGCAGAGGCAACUCCGCGAGCAGCGCAACGCCGAUCGCGCCCGACGACGUGCGGACGAGCAACAACAAAUUCCACCGCAUAAUCUCAACGACGCUUUUGACAUGGUCGGGGACCAGCCAGUCUACAAGACGCCAAUCGCCAACGUGGCUGUCGCCAUGGCUAAUCUAGAUCGGCUCCCUGAUACCCCUGAGUGCCAAGGAGUCCGGACCAGCAUCCGAGCACACAUGAUCGCCGCAAUGGGACAGACAGCCACUCUGCUCAAGAGAGUCCAGGACGUCUCUUACACAGAAGCCACCUCCGACCAGACUAAUCGUAGCCGGACCUCACCACCUCCCAGCAGGCGUCGCCGUAGCCGCUCUCCCGACAACCAUCGAAAAGAUUCACGGCGCGACGAUGGUGGUCGGGACACUGACGGUCACCGUGAGCAGAACCGCAGACGCAGUCAAGAAGUAAACCAACACAGGGAUCUCCGGCACAACAUUCCUCCCAAAGAUGCCCGGGACCGCAUUAACAGGCGUGCCACAGAAAGAGCAGUCCACGAAAACCUGCGCCGUAUUGAGUACGAUGCACCACACGGCCCCCCGGGCCUAAGACAAUUCUUCUCACACCUCCGCCAGGUCGUGUGGCCCCGCAAUUUCAAGCUCGAAAAACUUAAAAAAUACGAUGGCAAGGAAAAUCCAGAGAACUGGAUCACUCUCUAUGAAAUCGCCGUCCGAUCAGCAGCGGGAGAUGAGCACGUCAUGGCCAACUACUUCCCCGUAGUCCUCGACCAGGCUGGUCAUCAGUGGCUCCUUGGCUUGCCCGAGGACUCCUUCGACUCUUGGGAAGAGCUACGCCAGGCUUUCAUCGACAACUUCAUCGCCACAUGCGAGCAGCCUGGAAACAAGUAUGACCUCGAAAGGAUAAGGGACAGGAAGAACGAACCUCUGCGCGACUACAUCCGACGAUUCUCGGAUAUGCGCCUUAAGAUCCCAAAGAUUUCCCACGACGAGGCCAUCUCUGCCUUCAUCAAGGGCCUGCGUUUCCAUGAAGCGCUGAGGAACAAGCUGUUGCGUAAACGGCCAACAACGGUGGCGGAGCUCCUCGCCACGGCCAAAAAUUACGCCGAUGCUGACGACGCAGAAAAACUAAUCCGAGACGAUGCGAGAGGUCCCGACCCGCCUCCCCGGCGAGACGACGGUCGCGGUCGCUACGACAACAGGAACCACCGCCGCCCCGACAACCGCGAUCACAGAGAAGGUUGGGAUCGGCGGCGCGACAACCGCGACGAUUUCAGAGGAAAGCGCCCCCACGACUACGACCACGAAGUAAAUACGGUCAAGCGCCCCAACGGGCGGCGGGACUACCAAGAAGACUACAACAAAACGUUGAAGGGACCGUGCUAACUACAUCCAAAGUCUAAUCAUACCAUGGAGGAAUGCCGCAUCCUCAAAAGCAUCUAUACACGGCGGGCCGCCCAAGACGACUCCGCUAAGAAAAACGGCAAGCGAGACGGGCACGACCACGAAGACGAGGAUGAGGACCAAGAUAGGGACCUCCGACACCAAUACGUCAGCCCCACUGACGUGGUCCACUCCAUCUUCGGGGGCAAGGUCUCCAUCGAAUCUAAGCGGGAAAGAAAGCUAUUGAAGAGAGCCUGCCUCAACAUAGACAGCACGGACGGGCUGAUCGCAGACCCGAAAUUUCCAACGUGGUCGCACAGAGAGAUCUCAUUCAGCAGGAAGGACCAGUGGGCCGCCAUCCCAGAGCCAGGUCGUUUCCCUCUGAUCCUGGACCCUUGCAUCAACAGCAUCAGAUUCGAGCGCGUGCUCGUGGACGGAGGAAGCUCCAUCGACAUCCUCUUCCGCAACAGCCUGCCCGCUCUCAAGAUAUCUCCGGCACAACUAAAACCUUACGAUGCCCAAUUCUGGGGGGUUUUGCCAGGUCAGAGUUCAGUGCCCCUCAGACAGAUAACAUUGCCUGUCCAAUUCGGCACACCCGAACACUUUCGGACGGAGUUCAUCAACUUCGUGGUCACGGACUUCGACGGGACCUACCACGCUAUACUGGGCCGACCAUCGCUGACAAAGUUCAUGGCAGUCCCGCACUACUCAUACCUGGUCCUUAAGAUGCCUACGGAGAAGGGUGUCCUAACCGUCAGAGGCAAUGUCUACACCGCGUAUACCUGCGAAGAAGAGAGCUUCAAGAUCACCGAAGCAAUCGACCUCUCAAUCCGCAUGGCAGAAACAGCAACCCAAGCCGCGCAGCUACCUCCCGACCAGCUCCGAUUGCCCGAACAAGAGACAGCCAGGAAGAAUUCAAAAUCCAAGGAGUACAAAGAAGUGCAGCUGGUCGACGGCAGCUCCGAGAAGACGGCCCUCAUCGGGGCCAAUCUGGAUCCAAAAUAGGAAGACGCGCUCGUCAGGUUUCUAAGGGACAACGUCAGCGUUUUCGCAUGGAAACCCGCAGACAUGCCCGGCGUCCCACGAAACCUGAUCGAGCACUCCUUAAACGUCUCGAAGACCGCAAGACCAAUCAAGCAAAAGCUGCGACGGUUCGCUCGUGACAAAAAGGAGGCUAUUAGGACAGAAAUAACACGGCUUCUAGCAGCCGGAUUCAUAAAAGAAGUGUAUCACCCCGAUUGGCUCGCCAAUCCGGUUCUUGUACGCAAAAAGAAUAAUGAAUGGAGAAUGUGCGUUGAUUACACAGAUCUCAAUAAACACUGUCCUAAAGAUCCUUUUGGUCUCCCUCGCAUCGACGAGGUGGUCGACUCAACGGCCGGAUGCGAACUCCUCUCUUUUCUAGACUGCUACUCUGGUUACCACCAGAUUUCGCUAAAGGAAGGCGAUCAGAUCAAAACAUCUUUCAUUACCCCUUUCGGCGCAUACUGCUACACGACCAUGUCAUUCGGACUCAAAAACGCUGGAGCCACUUAUCAACGGGCCAUCCAGCAGUGCCUCCACGACGAGAUUCGUGAUGACCUCGUCGAGGCCUAUGUAGACGACGUGGUCGUAAAAACAAGGGACGCGAGCACCCUAAUCGACAACUUAGACCGAACUUUCAAGGCGCUUAAUAGGUACAAGUGGAAGCUCAACCCCAAAAAGUGCAUCUUCGGUGUUCCUUCCGGUCUACUGCUCGGCAACGUUGUCAGUCGCGACGUCAUACGACCAAACCCUUCAAAAGUAAAAGCAGUACUCGACAUGCGACCACCCAAGAACGUCAAGGAUAUUCAGAAGCUUACCGGAUGUAUGGCCGCCCUCAGUUGCUUCAUCUCAAGGCUAGGAGAAAAAGGCCUCCCUUUCUUCAAACUCUUGAAAGCGUCGGAAAAAUUCUCUUGGACAGAAGAAGCCGACGCCGCGUUCACUCAGCUUAAGGCUUUCCUCACUUCACCACCUGUCCUUACAGCGCCUCCGCCCGAUGAAGACCUACUCCUUUACAUUGCUGCAACCGACAGGGUUGUUUCCACAGCAAUAGUGGUCGAGCGAGAUGAACCAGGUCAUGCCUAUAAAGUCCAGAGACCCGUUUACUUCAUAAGUGAAGUCUUAAACGAGUCCAAGGCCAGGUACCCACAAAUACAGAAGCUCAUAUACGCCAUUCUAAUAACAUCAAGAAAGCUGAAGCACUACUUCGACGGCCAUCGAGUCUUGGUAACCACCAGUUUCCCUCUCGGGGACAUUCUGCGCAAUAAAGACGCCAACGGCAGAAUCGUGAAAUGGGCGAUGGAAUUAUGCCCAUUUUCCCUAGAGUUCCAGAGCCGCACCACAGUCAAGUCUCAGGCCCUGGUCGAUUUCAUUGCUGAAUGGACGGAUCUCAACGAGCCUCCCGUUCCCGAUGUCUCCGACCACUGGUCAAUGUUCUUCGACGGAUCCUUAAACAUCAACGGUGCCGGCGCUGGGAUACUGUUCGUGUCACCUAACAAGGACAAACUGCGUUACGUCCUUAGGAUCCUAUUUCCAGCGUCAAACAAUGUCGCCGAAUACGAAGCAUGCCUGCACGGCAUAAGGCUCGCCGUUGAGCUGGGAGUCAAACGCCUUUAUGUCUAUGGCGACUCCGCUUUGGUUAUCAACCAGCUCAACAAGGAGUGGGACGCAACCCACGAGAAGAUGGAUCUCUACUGCAAAGAAAUUCGCAAAUGGGAAACCAACUUCUACGGCAUAGAGUACAUCCACGUGGUCCGAGAUAAGAACCAGGCAGCAGAUGCGUUGUCGAAGUUAGGGUCAUCUCGGGCCUAGAUCCCACGGGGUAUUUUCGUCCAGGACAUCCACGAGCCUAGCAUAGGCUCCACCCUGGUCGAAAAGCAACCUACCGAGGCAAUGCUCAUAGACGAUGCCACUCCGACAACCGGUGGUCGUGAUUGGCGUACACCGUUCAUCAAGUAUAUAUCGGACGGGACAGGCUUUCAGGACAAAACAGAGAACGAGCGCCUCAUUCGACGGUUAAAGAACUACAUCCUGGUCGACGGUAAACUCAUGCGAAAAAAUGCAAGCUCUGAAGUAUUGCUCAAGUGCAUAUCCCAGGAUGAUGGUACCAAGCUCCUAGAAGACAUACAUGCUGGAUCCUACGGCAAUCACACCGCAUCCAGAACGUUGGUCGGAAAAGCCUUCCAGGCAGGUUUUUAUUGGCCAACCGCGGUCAACGACGCAGAAAAACUGGUUCGACACUGCGAGGGAUGUCAGUUUUUCGCUAAGAGGACCCACGUACCCGCUCACGAAAUUCAAACCAUCCCGUCGUCCUGGCCCUUCGCUUGCUGGGGGCUUGACAUGAUCGGGCCAUUUAAACCAGCUCCCGGCAACUUCAAGUUUGUUUUCGUGUUAAUCGACAAGUUCUCCAAGUGGAUCGAAUACAUGCCUCUGGUCAAAGCAACCUCCGAGAAGGCUGUGGAGUUCCUCAAUCAAAUCAUACACAGAUUCGGCAUCCCGAACAGCAUAAUCACCGACCUGGGUACUCAGUUUACUGGCACCACAUUUUGGGACUUCUGCGAUGACAGGGGCAUAGUCAUAAAAUAUGUGUCAGUGACUCAUCCACGGGCCAAUAGUCAAGUUGAACGCGCAAACGGAAUGAUCAUUGACGCCCUAAAGAAAAGGCUGUACAACGAGAACGACAGAGCACCCGGUCGAUGGAUGAAAGAGUUACCUGCCGUGGUUUGGGGCCUCCGUACUCAGACCAGUCGAAACACAGGAGUAUCUCCCUACUUCAUGGUUUACGGCUCCGAGGCAGUCCUGCCGUCUGACAUAACCUUCGGAUCUCCUAGGAUUGAACACUUCGACCAGGCGACAGCCGACAACGCCAGAGAACUCGAAAUCAACUGCAUGGAGGAAAAGCGUUUGAAUUCUUGUCUCCGAACAGUAAAAUAUCUCACGGCAGUCAGGCGAUACCACAACAGGAACGUCAAGGACCGUUCCUUCGUGGUCGGCGACCUGGUACUUAGGUGGAGAACAAGCCAAGAGGGAAUGCACAAGCUCUCCACUCCCUGGGAAGGACCCUUCGUGGUCGCCGAAGUCACACGACCCACGUCCUACAGAUUGGCAUACCCAGACGGGACACGCGUGCCUAACUCUUGGCACAUAGACAAACUGCGACGAUUUUACCCAUAAGUUCUAAUAACUUUCGCUUGUAAAUAUCUUAUAAUUGUCAAUAUUAAAGUUUUCUAUUUUUUGCCUAUACUUUGUUGCACGCAGAACUCUUGGCAAACCUUCUGCAACGGAAGCUCUUAGCGACUACCAAGUCAAAUACGGUGACACGUCACUCAGAUAAUUAUACAGCGCUCAAAAUAACAGUCAUGACAAAGCAAACUUUAUUACAAACUUUAUAUACAAAGUUUACAAUAAAUAUCCUGACGGGCAGACGCUAGUCUAUUCCUACAGACUACCCUAUCGGCCUAACUGCUCGGGCUGAUCACCCGUUUGGCCCUGCUGCCCGGACGAAGGGGUCGGGCCCACCGGCGCCUUGCUGGUCGAGACCGCAGGCGUCGACCGCCCAUCUCCCGCAACAGACGCGCCCGACAGCUCCCUGGCCGACCUGUCUGAGCCUGGCUGGUCGGGGGGAGUGGCCGUUCCGCACAGAUUGAUGUCGCCGAUCACCAUCGACGACAAGUCCAGCAGACCACCCCGAAGCUCGUCCGCCUCCUGCGGGCCGACCUCCUUGGGGUACCCCUUCUCCAGCCUGGACAAGUCGACCAGGGGGUAAUGGGCGCGCACCAUGCUAAGGACAUGCGCACCAGCGAACUCCCCAGCGUCCUUCACAAAUUGCUGGAGCCAGUCCCACGCCCGUUGCGCCUUCUCCACCGGAGUCAACUUCGGCGCGCGGGGCUGGCUCUCCGGGAGCUCGGGACUGAUCAGAUCCAGGACCGGGGAUACUCCCUUCCAGAUCUUACAACAGUUGACCUUCCAGGAGUCCCAGUCCUUGACCAGCUCAUCCAGGUGCUUCUUGGCGUUCACCUUGAGCUCUGCAAGUCAAGCAGGACGUUAUCUUCGACAUAUCAAAAAACAAAGGGGGCGACAAGCGGCAGAUAACGAGGCGGUGCGUAUUACCAGAUAACUCCCGGUCCUUACGACCCAACUCCUCUCCUGCUCGACGCCCGGACUCCAGCGCACCAGCGAGCUCUUGGCUGAGCUGCUCCUUCUCCUAUCGGAGGCGCGUCACCUCCUCCUCCAGGUCUAAGUGAAUCAUAACCUGGUCAGCAAAGCGAACUACACAGCUACACGAAGGUGCUCGGAUCGCGUGACUAACCUUCUCGCUGACGGUACUGGUCGGCCAAGCGACGGGUAAGCUCGAGACAAUGCUCCUCUUGGGCAUUCAUCUCGGCCACUUUCUCCCCAACCUCCGAUCGCAGCCGGUCCACCUCCGCGGCUAGGGCCUUGUUCUCGGCCACAACGCCUUCUAUCUGGUCGAAGCACCGUUUCCGGUACUUCGCCGUUUUCAUCGCGCCCUACAAAACGAACAUAUGACAACCAAGCAAGACAACGUACAGAAUGUACAACAGUGCAAAGAACCGCUUACCUUGACUUCGUCGACGAGGCGUUUGGCCGCGCGCUCGACCCUGGCGGCCUCCUCGGUCUCGGCGAGCUCCUCAUGCCCGAUGAAGUGAUCCCCGCGUUGGCGCCACACAUACACGUGUUGGCGGCCAUCGCGGGGACGACCUUCAAUCUCCUCCACCUCAUCGUCGGAGGCCGCCUGGGUUUCCUCCUCACCCGUCGUUUUGCCCCCGGUAGCAGUCGAAGGCAUUACUGGCCCCCGGGCCAGACCCGGGGAGCCUGCAGUCGAAGCGUCCCCUGCUCGGGGCGGCGUGGGGACUUCGCUCUCCUCGGCAGGAGGAGGGGUCGGGGCUCUCCCCUCCCUUUCUGUGGAGUUCGCUGGGGGAGGUGCCCCUGUAGCCUCCUCAGCCCUGGCCGGGCUGCUCGCCGUGGUCGGUGCCGCGGCUGGGGGCUCCUCGGUGCUCACAGGCACGGCUGCAGCCGCAGGCUGCUCCGUGGUCUGCGGCGCCGCGUCUUCAGCAGCGCAGGCAGGCUCACCCGCCCCCUGGCCGGCGGCAUGGCCGGGGUUGACAUCCGACGCCGCGCUAAAAGAACAAAAGUACAAUAAAAAAAAAGCCAAAAUACGUAAGUCGAACACUUACAGGUCCGAUCGACGGUGGGUCGCGGUGAACCUCCUCCUCGUCCGGCCAGUCGGCACCUGCGCCCCCAUCUCGACAACGCGCGGAGCAGGAGGGUCGCUGGCCACCCGAUCAGUAGUGGCCGGCGCACUAUCUGGGCGGUUCCGAGGUCGUCGAACUAGCGACGGUGCGGCCUCCUCGUCGUUGUCGUCGUCGUCGUCAACGAUCCGCACGAGCCGACGGCGCUUCGGCGCUUGGCUGCUCUCCGCCGGCAACGUCGGUACCGGCAAAGGAUCUGCCGCCAGUGGCCUUUUCCCCGCCACCCUCUCCUCGGUGGUCGGGACGGGGCGGGCCUGGUCCUCCUCACUGCUGGUGUACCGAUCACACCGUGCAGCGUCCUCUAAAGGCGGAUCCUCCCUUGUGGGAUCCUCCAUCCCAGGCGCUAGUGACACAUACACUGUGCACCUAUCUACAUCUCCGAUCUACAAAGAGAAAUACAGACAAGUCAGCAUCCGACGAUAUAACGAAGGCUAAGGAGUCAGUCAGUAAAGGACAUUACCUUAGGGGCUGGUUGCCCCAGCUUGAAAGCUUGCACCCGAUCACUACCACGGAUGAAGCCCCCAUCAGUAAAGUUGAACAAUUCGUACAACAACUGCUGCACCUCUUCCUUCUCCAGGACCUCAGGCCUCAUCCUGGUCGGGUCCUGGCUUCCGGCGUACUCAUACGCCGAGUGCACCCUCUUCUGGCAGGGCAUCACUCGGCGGCAAACAAAGUUCCCGACCACCCCUAGCCCGUCCAAGCGCGACCAGUCGAUCAGCUUCAUCAGGUCUGCUACCUGUCGAUCGAAUUCUGGGCGGUCGGUCCAACUGACCCUCUUCUCGGGGAUGUACCCCAUGUCACAGAACGUGGAGCUGCCCGGCUCCUCCCUGACGUAGAACCAUUUCUUAUACCACUCGGUAAGAGAGGUAUUCCAAGGGCAGUUCAGGUACCGGUUCUUCAUCCCGUCCCGGAGAUUGAGGUAUACUCCACCUGCAAUCUUGGAGCCUCCAACUGCUCCCUUCUUCCUUAAACAGAAAAGAUAACGAAAGAGAUCCAAGUGCGGCUCUAUGCCCACAUAGGCCUCGCACAAAUGGAUAAAAGUGGAAAUGAGGAGAAUGGAGUUCGGGUGCAGAUUGCAAAUCCCGAUCUCAUAAUACAAAAGAAGACCUUGAAGAAAAGGAUGAACAGGAACCCCAAAUCCCCUCUUAAUGAAAUCUUCAAACACGACGAUCUCACCGGCGCGGGGGUCGGGGUAGCUCUCCCCCUCCGGUGCCCUCCAGCCGCCGAGCUCCGGGCUGUGCAGAAGCCCCAUAUCGACGAGGUCACCAAGAGAUUUGGUGGUGCUGCGGGAUUUCUUCCACUCCUUGGCCAUCAGUUCGGCCCUCUUCUUGGAGUCGAUCUUCGCCAUUGGAGGUGAGGAAGUGGACUUGAGUUAGGAAGAUGCCGGUGAUUGAAAGAGGCAAGAGUGGAAGGCUUGAAGGCAAUGGCAGGGUAAGCAGUAUAGGCGGAACUGUCGAGCUCUUAUAACCCGCAAAUCCACCUCUCCCACUUCCCGUAUUCUCGGGAAGUGGGCGGGCCGUGCGGCGGAUGUGGCGUUUCGGUUUUCAAUGAUUAUAGACGAUUAAUGCGGCGGAGUUUUCGUACCAAUUGAUGGUUUCCUUUUCUCAAACCAUGCAAAGGGUGGCUGCACAGUUGCCAGGCGCAACUUUUCAUGCAUCCAUCUGACAUCCCGUCAGGAGGCCUCGUCACGUCAACUUUAACUGGAAAGAUCUUUUCAAAAACAAGAAGACAAAUAUGGCAGAGAGUCAACAAUCCGGGGACUGUACCGACCACCGAGCACUUGAUGCUCGGGGACUGGUCGCCCAGUCUAUCGACUCAGAACUUCAAAGACUGUACCGACCACCGAGCACUUGAUGCUCGGGGACUGGUCGCCCAGUCUAUCGACUCGGAACUUCAAAGACUGUACCGACCACCGAGCACUUGAUGCUCGGGGACUGGUCGCCCAGUCUAUCGACUCAGAACUUCAAAGACUGUACCGACCAUCGAGCACUUGAUGCUCGGGGACUGGUCGUCUAGUCUAUCAGCUCGGAACUUCAAAAUAUCACACCAACCACUAAGCGCUUGAUGCUCGGGGACUGGUCGUCCAGCAUAGCAACGCAGGAUUCUAAGGAGCGCACUUGGUACUUGGGUCCUGAUGGUCAUACUAUUGUACACCAGGGGACUGGUCGAUCAGUCUGUUCAAUUGCAGACGGACUAGUAAAAUUAAUUUUUUAGACCUUGCUACAAGGCUCAUACUUCGUCUUCCAGCAAGCUCGGGGACUAUAUCGGUACGAUGCAUCUGGCGAUGCAUCUCAGUUGCAGAAUUUCUUUGAGGACUUUUCUUUUGACCCUGGCACCACGUACCUACGUCACCUACUACCAGGCUCGGGGACUAAGUGGGCACACUUCACCUUGCGGUGAAUAUGCUUGCUUUUUUGAGGUUUAUACUUUUCUUAAAAGUAAAGUGGGCACACUUCACCAGGAAAGAAUUUUUUUUAAAUUUAGAGCACCAUGCAUUCAUCGAACAACCAGCUUCUUCGAUGUCAACGUUGAUCAACUGUCUUUUGAGUUGGUCAAAGUACCGUUGCGACUGUUUGGGUGACUUUUUGUUUAUUGAAGACGUCAAGCCUCACUGAUCGAAGAAGCUCAAGAUGGCGUGUUACAUCACAAUACAUGGUGCUCGGGGACUAGCUGUGGGGGUAUAAACCCCUAUACCCUUACGGCUAGACUUGGGCCAGAAGGCUUGGCCCAUUACAAGACAAGCUCAAGGUUUGUUCCGACAGCUUGGAGUUUCGCGCAAGGAAACAAGACGUGGAGAUCAAGAAGGAUUCUAGUCGGUUAGAAUAGAAAUUGAUAUCAAACUAUCUAUGGCAAUUGUAACCGACUAGGAUUAGUUUCCAGAUCUGUAACCCUGUCCUCCGGGCUAUAUAAGGAGAGGCAAGGGACCCCCCUAGGACAUCAUAUUCUCUCAACACAAAUCAAUACGACCAGACGCAGGACGUAGAUAUUACGCCAACUCGGCGGCCGAACCUGGAUAAAAAGCUUGUCCGUGUCUUGCGUCACCAUCAAGUUCGUAGUUUGCGCACCGUCUACCGAUAAACUACUACCGUGGGUAUACCCCAAGGUAGACUGCCGACUAGCUUUCGUCGACACCGGCGCAGACUAGUUGGGGGCCAAAGGUGUAUGAGAUGGUGAAGGAUAUGGAUCACAUAGAGUUUGGCAAGAAGAAGAAGAAGGUACCAGAAGAAGAGGGGACAAAACAUACAAGGAAGAGAAAGCGGGACACGAAGGAGGACGCCGCACCGCUUGUCCCUUUCAAGAAGAAAUCGAUUUUCUUCAAGUACCUGUCAUACUGGAAAACCCUGAAAACACCCCAUGCCAUUGACUGCAUGCACCUCGAGAAAAACGUCUUUGAUAGCACCAUCGGUGUCCUAUUGGACAUCAAGAGCAAGAUGAAGGAUGGCCUCAAGUCACGGUUGGAUCUUGUGAACCAGGGCAUCAGGAAGGACCUUCACCCGGGUCCGACUCAUAACGGCAAAGUCGAUCUACCAGGUGCGUCUUACAACCUAAGGCAUGAUGAGAAGAUUGCUAUGCUCAAGUUGUUGAGGGGUAUCAAGGUGCCGACCGGUUUCUCUUCCAACAUCAAGAGUCUGGUGUCCAUGAAAGACCUCACACUAGCCGGCUACAACUCACAUGACUGUCACGUCAUGCUGACGGUGUUCCUUCCAAUCGUGAUUAGGGCUAUCGGUCCAGAAUACGUGAAGAUGGUGGUCACUCGGAUGUCAUACUUCUUCAACCGUAUCACCCAGAAGGUCAUCGGUAAGGCUGACCUGCCUGCCCUUAAGGAGUUCAUUGCAGAGACCCUCUGCCAGCUCGAGAUGUGCUUUCCCCCAUCUUACUUUGAUAUUAUGCCACACCUGAUGAUGCACAUGGUUGAUCAGAUCGAGCAACUUGGCCCCGUGUACCUACACCAGAUGUGGACGUACGAGCGGUUCAUGUCCACCCUCAGCAGAUACGUCCAUAACCGUGCUUACCCAGAAGGCUCUAUGAUCGAGGCAUACACAACUGAGGAGUCCGUGAACUGGUGCAUGAGGUACAUAAGAGAUGGGAGAGCGAUUGGGAUGCCUGUCCAUCAGCACGAGGGCAGAACCGCGGGGUUGGGGUGUACUGGACGCAAAGUACGCACCGAUAUACCAUAUAAAGAUGUGGAACAAGCUCAUUACAGUAUCCUUCAUCAGUUAGUGAGCAUGGAGAAGUACGUUGACAGACAUGUCGAAGAGAUCCGCGUCGCGCAUGAUGGACAACACACAGAGGAAUGGGUCCAGAAAGAGCACAAGAGCACUUUCCUAUCCUGGCUUAAAGAGCAACACAUACCCCUAGAAGGCUGCUCUGAUAAAGAUACAGACACCGUUAAGAAGCUUGUGCUAGGUCCGUCCAGCAGAGUCACCACGUGGCAAGGCUAUGACGUCAAAGGGUACCGGUUCCACACGAAAGAAAAGGACAAGAAGAGCGCCGCACAGAACAGCGGUGUUCGAUAUGAGGGUGUCGACGAGGCCACAAACUCGAGGACGCAAUACUAUGGGCAGGUCGAAGAAAUAUGGGAACUUGACUAUAGCAAAGACGUUCGCGUAACCGUCUUCCGAUGCCACUGGGUUAACCCAAAAACGGUUGUGGUGGACAAUUAUGGGCUAACCACCAUGAACCUCAAAAGUACCGGCUACAAAGAUGAUCAGUGGGUACUUGCAACCAAUGUCGCGCAAGUGGCCUACUAUAUCUAUCCGGAGGACACAAAGAGGCAUGUGGUUGUUUCAGGAAAGCAACGCAUCGUUGGAGCUGAUGGGGUACAGAGCCCAGAACAAUACAACAACUAUGAAGAGCUCGAGCUAUUUACCGAUCUACCAAAGAAGGUGAAGGCCAUCGAGGACCGUUGUAACAAGAGUGGAAUGAAGCCGUGGACCCGACAUGAUGGUGAGGUGCGGUCUGUGAAAGCACCUGCACCAAAAUGAGAGAACUAUUUAAGAUAAUGGGCAAUUAUUGUAAUACCUCUUUUUAAGACAAGUCUUAUAUUUAAUGAAGUAGUGGACAAUUAUACAUAGCACACACAUCUAUAUGUAAUGGAGUAGUAGUGGAUAAUUAUUGUUUAAUAUCUCUUUUUUAAUAUGUAAGUUUUGUAAUUCAGCUAUUUAUAAAUGUCAAUUUAUUAAUAUCCCUGUAGCUAUUUACAAUUUUAAAAUUAUCAAAAAAUUAUAUUAUAAAAGUAAAAAGCUUCUGUUCAGGGAAUAACCGCAGCGGGCGUCUUAACUUGCCCGCUGCGGUAAAUAUUAACCGCAGCGGGCGUCUUAAAGUGCCCGCUUCGGUUAAUAUUUACCACAGCGGGCAGGUUAAGACGCCCGCUGCGGUUAAUGUUAACCGAAGCGGGCACAUUAAGACGCCCGCUACGGUUAUUCCCACACUAUAAAAGCAGGCGGCCCUCUGCCCUAAAAUUAGUCGCGCGGUUCUUCCUCACCCGAAGGGCUGCCGAAUUUCGAACUCCCGCCUUCGCCGCCGCCGUCCCCGUCCACGCUCCAUCACCGUCACCCGCUCGAACUCGCCUGCUUCAUCCCCGUCCGCCGUCCGCCACCGCGGGACCUUCACCGGCGCUUCGUCACCGUCGGCCAUCCGCGGGACCUUCACCGGCGCCAUCCACCGUCCGCUGCACUUCGCCACCAGGUAUGCUCCCUCCUUUCUCUUCCCUUUCUUCCUUAGCGGAGCCGAGCACUUCCUCCCUAUUCCCUCCAUCGUUCAAAUCGACCCCACCCCCGCGGCGCGCGCCUCGGGUCCCCGUCUCCGCGGAUCUCCGGUGAGUCCUCUGUCACCCGCCAUCCGUGUAACGCAGCCGUGACCCUGCGGUAGGGGAAGGCUAAGGCCUUCACAACACCCUAUGAAGAAUACAAGUGAAGCAAAAAGAACCUCAGAAGCAAAUGUUUUUUGAAGUGUUUAUGUCUAUGUCCAGAUCUGCUUGGGUCUUUCAAGUUUAAUUGUAUACUAGAUAUGUGUAUUACAAUUAUAGAAUUCAUGUUUUAUGUUCUUAUUUUUUCAGUCUAUAACAAUUCCCUGAAUUUCAAUCAGCGCAAAAUGCUUUAUCUUAUAUGCUUGUAGGCAUCAAGCAGGUAGUGUCAAAUGCCAUGGUUUGUGUGGAGUGAUGCCUAAAUUUUCUCUCUCUUCUUUGCAUGUCGAGUGCAGUAACUUCUCAAUUUAUAUUAGACAUCCCAAAUCAUUGUUUCAAGUACUGGGAUGUUCAAUCUGCAAUGUGGCUUCUUGAUUUGAUUGAGUAGAUCUGUGGUCUCUAGUCAGACUUAUUUGUUUAGCUUAGCUCUAAAAUUUUAUAUUAUUCCAAGUUGUGUUCACGAGAACUCCAAAAUGUUCAAUCUGCAAUGUGGUUUCUGUUUGCAAGUGCCACAAAACUGAAAUCAUUUCGCCAGACCACAUCCAGUAGAACAAGUGCUAUGUUCCUAGGUAGACUAAAUGUGUAUGCUGCAACCGUGUAGGGUCACAAUUUUUGAAACAUUUUUAGGUUCACAACACGGAAGUCAUCAGAGUAUAUUUUGGUUCUUGUGUUUUACUUUGUAUUUGAUUCGUGUUCUCAAUGCAGCAUACACAUUUAGGUAGCAGCUGUUUUGUGUGGAUAUGAAUCUUGCAUAAUGUCUGUUACGAAUCUUGCACAGUUAACUGCUUUAAACUGAAAAAAUGGCUAUUCAUUUCAUAUCAUUUUAGCUGGUUAGUUUUUGCUCAAUUGAAGCUUUGUUCUCUUAUUUUUUAUGCUAAAACUGCCAGAUUAGUAGUUUUCUUUGUCUCUUUCUAUCUGUUAGGAGGAACUAAGCUUGCUGCAUUUAAACUAUAUAUACUUGGACAAUUGCAAAAAUUCCAGUAAAUAAUCAUGUCCAUCAUAUCCUAAGCCCACAGCUUGCUGCAUUUGCAUAAUUUGCAUUUGCAUGAUUUGUAGGGUAACUAUUUGUAAGAGUAUUGUGUUAAAUAAUUUCUAUGCUCUAAGAUAUUUGCACAUCUUUAAAUAGUUUCUCACAUUUGCACAUAGAAAUGGCGGACGACCCGUUCCAGAAUUGGAGGGAGCCUACCCCUCGCCACCGCAAAAGAAACGUCGAACCGAGGAAGACGUAGAUCCGACGUACAAUCCGGUGGAUGACAAAGCCCACAGUGCACAGAUCCCAGUUGUGCCUCGGGCGUUAGACUUUGGGUCCGGAGAAGAGAACAGACAUGAAGAAGGCCCCGCUCCCUCCACGACAACCUCAGAAUCCAAGCAGAAGCGGAGGAGGGGGCAACACGGGAGGCACCAAAGGGAGUUGACUGACGUGGUGCACGUGAUCCUUGAGGUGGGGCCAGAGGGAAACCCAGUGAGUCCGCAAGGGGUACUUGGCCGGUUCAGCAACCAAGUGUCCUGCAUAGUCAGAGAUAAGGUGUUGAUCACUUGGCCGAGCUGGCAUCAGGUCCCGAAAGACGUCAAGGGCAAUGUAUGGGGUGAGGUUACCCGGAAGUUCACUUAUCCCGAAGGCGCAGACAUGGAGAAGUGUUGUGAGUGGGCCAUGCACGUGGCGUCCUGUGCCUUUCGCAACUUCAAGUCGAUGCUGGCACGAGACUUUCUAAAGAAGAAGAAGUCACCAUGCGAGAAAUACACUAUGGUGAAGGAGCAUGUGUGGGAAGAAUUCUGCCGAAUGAGGACGACUGCUGAAGCAGAGGCAAAGAGCGCCAAGUUCAGUGCUCUGGCGAAACAAAACAAGUAUCCCCACCACUUGGGCAUGAUUGGCUAUGUCGGACAUAGGGCUCGAUGGCAGGCAGAAGAACAGGCUAGACAGGCUGCUGGGAUUCCUGAUCCAUACGAAGACGUCGAUGUUAGAGCUAAGGAGUUCAUGUAUGCCCGUGUUCUAAAGAAGCUAAAGCCAGGCGCGACCAAGUACAACAAGCCGCAAUAUGAGGAGUUGGAGAAGGCUCUCGUCCAGGCCGCCAAAUCUAAGGACAACAUCGAGGUCCGUAGGGGCCAUGACUUGCUGACCGAGGUCCUCGGAACCCCUGAGCAUCGCGGCCGUGUUCGUGGAGUCCAGUGCAAGAUGAGCUAGAAGUUGGUCGAGUCGUGGCAGGCCGACGCAUCCGCAUACAAGUCCAGGCAGAAGUACAAGGACACGUUGUAUCAGAAAGGCUUCGAAGAAGGCAUGGCUGAGGUGAUCAAACACUCAAUAAAAGAAGCCUUCACGAGCAAUGAGCCUAAAAUGGUGGCGAUGAGGUCACAGAUGUUUCGCGAGGCUGGCCUGGCCACGGCUCCACUUCAACAACCGCAAGGGCUGCCGAUGAUCGAGGGUCAACCAAUGCACUGGACCGAGGACGUCCAGAAAGACACACACGUCCAGCUCUUGAUCCCGUUCGGAAGAUCCAAGAAGAUGUAUAUAGCUGAGGGAAUGCUACAUCCCAAAAGCAUAGAUUUCAGCCCAGAGGAAAUCCCAAAAGGCUAUGUGGUUGUGACCCCACUCUGGAAUGUGCCAGAGCAAGAAGAGUAUGAAUUGGACCUUCCAAACAUCCAGCACGUCAGAUUUCUUAGGCAGGCCAUUGGUCAUGAAGUUCUAUGGAACAAGGAAGACAUUGAGAUCAUUCCACCGACACCAACUCCGACACCGACACCAGGAUCGCAGCCAUCAACUGUCGGAUCACAACGAUCAGUGGCUGGAUCUUGUCCCCCAGAUGAUCCUGAUGGUAGUGACGAUGAUGCUGAAGGCAAUGGCGAGGACAAGGGCAAAGGACAAGGCGAUGGCCAUGGCCAUGGCCAGGACAAGGAGAAGGCACAAGACAAGGACGAUGGCGGAGAUAAGGAGAAGGCACACAUAGAUGAGGGUGACAAAGACAUGGGUGCAACCUGUGCCCCUCCUCCAAAUAGUCCGCCUCGGAGCCCAAGAAGACAACAAGAAGGAGGCAUGGAGGAGGCAACAAGGACUAAGACACCACCGCCAACAUCUACUCCUACGCUUGAAGCUCCUCCUCCACCGAGCAAGAAUGCAGGCAGGACCGCCACAGUACUCCCGUACACUACUACGUCUGAAAGGUAUGAGACAAACAAACAUAAUAUUCUCGUAACCUUUCUAACACAUAAAAUGGUAAUAACAUUUGUAAGUAUGUUUUGCCAGGCCUACAAAUACUCUCCAAAUCAAUCUAUUUCCCGAGGCGGAAGACUGUCCUGGCCACUAUGAGCUUGGAAAGUUCAUGCUACCUAAGGCCCAGCUCAUCGACGAUGAAAAGUGGGAUACAAGGAAGUUCCACCUGUGGUAUAUGGAAGCGGCAAAAGCCGGGAUGACAGGUUUCACCAUCAAGAUUCCCUCGGAGUUGUUCCACUUGCCCGGUGCAGAUAUUCAGCUGCCUGUGGACUUCCAGGACAUGUACAAUCUAUUGCGGGAAGAAGACCUUGACAUCGUCCAAAUCACCUUAUUCUCUCUGUAAGUGAUGAUUGCGACCUUCAUAGACCAAUCUCUACAUUUGUAUUGGAGAACUAUAUGAUUUUUCGGACACGAUGACUUGUCCGUGCAGGUUGACGGUCACUAUUAGCAACAAAAGGCACCAUCCUAUCCUAUACCUCUCUCCAAUGCAUAUUGCUGAGAGAGUGAUCAAGGGUUUCCAGAUAACGGACCCAGAGUUGACCGUGCGGCAGAGGGAAAAGAAGUACGAAGAAAACAUGAAAGAGGAGAAGAAGAAAUUGUCAAGGUACAUCUUUGAGGUAAUGAAGAAGCUCAACCCGGAUGGGCCGCAUUGUAUUAUGGCUGCCUACCACUUUGGGUAAGUCGAAACAUCCAUGUAGAGCAAAAGUGGCUAGGGUCAUGCCUUCUCGUUGACAUAACCUAUACUUGUUUCAAUGGUGUAGAAAUGACCUAGCCGGCGGCCACUGGGUUGCCUUCCUCGUAUAUCCUCAAGAUGGCCGGGCUGUUAUAUUUGACUCGUUACAGGUACCGAACAAAAAGGGGUACAAGGCCUUCGAAGACUGCUUGAAAAAGUAAGCCACCGAGCUUCUUGAUCCUUUACGGUUAUCAUAUUCAAAUUGACGCUAACACUACUACACUUCGUGCAGCGCUUAUAGUGCAUAUCUCAAGGAUCCGCAAUGCUUGGAUCGGAGAACGGAGAAAUUCAAAAAGAGGCAUAAGCACCACCUCAAAAUCCGACGCGAUUUCCCCGUAAGUAUAUUUCAAAGGUAGUUUAAUUAUGCUUUUGGUAUAUAUGUGCUCUAAUGCUUUUGUAUCGAUCGUGCAGUGCGCCAAACAACCCUUGGGAUCAAAGGCAUGUGGCUUGUACACCUGCGAGAACCUAAGGGAAAGCAAGGAGUACACCAACAGCUGGAAGAAGCUCAAAGAAGCAGUGAAGAAUCGUGGAGAGACGAUGAAGAAUGAACGCCAAGCUUUUAAGCAAAUCAAGGCGGACAUCUGUAAGUUCAUCCUAGAGAAAUGCGUGCUCGAAGGCGAACCAUUCUUCGACAAUGAAGGUGAAUUGGCAGUUCGACCUGAGUUCGAGAAGCUUAGGAGAUGGGACACCAUGCUACGGCCGACGGAUUACACCCACGCAGUAGAAUUGUGAUGUGUAGCGGAUUCGUGGGUUUGUGUAUAUGUGGAUGAUGAGAACAACUAAGUGGAUUUAUAUAUUAUGUUGUGUCUUAUGUAUUGAACUUUCAGGCAUAUGUGUGUCUGUAUAUAUAUAUCUUCUGUUUCUAAAAUGAAAUCUACUUUCUGGAAUUUGUAAAUUGUUUAAAUUCAUAUUGAGCAAUGGUUCUGCAAUGUGUUUUUUUAUUUAAAAACACUUAACCGUGGCGGGCAACAUAAAGAGCCCGCUACGGUUAAUCUAUUAACCGUAGCGGGCGACGUAAAGAGCCCGCUGCGGUAAAUUGGAAUUAACCGUAGCGGGCGCUUUACGUUGCCCGCUACAGUUAAUCGAUUAACCGCAGCGGUCAGCGGCGCCCGCCACGGAAGUGGCCACGAUUUACCGUGGCCUUAUGGCCGUGGCGGACGCGUUUGCCCGCUACGGAAAAGGGAAAAUGGCCACCACGGUUAUUCUUUCUGCAGUAGUGACAAUCAAUUCCAUCAUAUGCCAUGUCCUGUUUUGAUCUUACUAAAUCUCUUUGUGAUGAGAUAGGCAAAAUGAUAUGUAGAUACUGGUGGGCGCAACAAGAUAAGGAGAAUAAAAUGCAUUGGGUCUCUUGGGAGGAAAUGUGUAGAAGGAAGGAGGAAGGUGGUCUUGGUUAUAGAGACCUUCAUCUUUUCAAUUUGGCUAUGUUAGCACGACAGGGUUGGAGAAUUUUGCAAAAUCCUGAUUCAUUAUGUGCGCAGCUGUUGAGAGCGAAGUAUGGCACAAAUGGCUCCUUGUUGCAGACUAGUGAAGGACCGGGUAUAUCCUAUACUUGGCGUAGUAUUGUCCGUGGACUCCAAGCAUUGCAAAAGGGACUGAUUUGGCGGAUUGGAGAUGGAAUGCAAAUUAAUAUUUGGGAAGAUCCAUGGAUAUCAAAUGGGAUUACCAGGAGGCCGAUUACACCUAGGGGUCAUACAAUAUUGACCUGGGUUGCUGACUUGCUGCAUCUGGACACGGGGAGAUGGGAUGAAGACCUGGUACGUGAUGUAUUCUGGGAGGAGGACGUGCGAUAUAUAUUCACAACACCAACCAAUCCAAAUCAUGAGGAUGUUUUAGCUUGGCAUUUUGACAAUAAAGGUCAGUUUUCGGUGAAGUCUGCCUAUCAUGUCUUGGAUGAUGAGAAGAAUCGGGAGAAAACUCGACAGCAAGGAGAGGGGAGUAGCAGCGCCAAUUCUGGGAACCAGAGAAACGCCAUUUGGCGCAAAAUUUGGAAACUUCCAUGCUAGCCCAAAGUGUGGCAUUUCCUUUGGAGAGUAGCGCGAAAUAGCCUUGCACUAAUGAUGAAUAUCCAGAGAAGGGGUGUGAAGCUCGACAUAAGAUGUCCAAUGUGUCAUCGAUUGGAUGAAGAUGGAGGGCAUUGUUUUCUAAAAUGCAAGCUGGUGAGACGAUGUUGGUCUUGCCUUUCACUUGAGCCGGUUCGUCAACAUCUAUUACUCAAGCAAUCGGCAUGGGAGGUGGUGACUGAAAUAUUGGCUUUGAAGGAAGAAGUCCAAAUCAAAACUGUGUUACUUCUCUAGAAGUGGUGGAGUGUGAGAAAUAAAAUUAACAAAGGAGAGAAGGGCCAGACUGGAGAGGAAGUUGCUGCUGAUGUGCUAAACUUGAUGUGUGAUCUGAGGGAGUUGGAGAUAAAGUCGGUACGGGAGGUGAUUAGGAGUGCUGGUUGGAAGGCUCCACCGCCUGGACAGCUCAAGAUCAAUUCAGAUGGAUCAUUUAUCCAGGAGACGUUACAAGGGAGCUGGGGCUUCAUUAUCCGUGACCAUGAGGGCGACGGGGUACUUGCAGGAGCUGGUCGCCUGGGAUCAAUCCCAGAUGCAUUGACAACAGAGGCAGCAACAUGUGCUCAGGCAUUGCAAGCAGCUACAGAUUAUGGUAUAUCGCACGUACAAGUGGAGGUGGACUCAACUGCUCUUCAGCAAGCUCUCCAAUCAUCGUCCAUGGAUCUUGUCACUUGUGGAAUGUUGCUCAUUGACACUCGUUCUUUGCUUUGUGAGCAUUUUGUAUGCGGUAAAAUUCUCUCUAUUCCUAGAGCUUGUAAUGGAUUAGCACAUAACUUAGCCAAGCUUGCUAUGUGUUGGGACCCGGGCAAUUACCAUGUUUGGGCAAGCCCCCUCCCAGAAUUUGUAAAAUCUUUGAUUGCUCACGAUGGCGUCGAGCCUAUGUUUUUAAUGACAGGGCCAUAGAGCCAGGUUAUGAAUAAAAAAAAGAAACAAUUCACAGUGGCAUUCACCAAUGUUAAUUUCCAUUGGUUAAGCUGUGCUAUAACGAUUCAUAGAGUCACCCGAUCCCACUCCAUACAAUGAACUUAACACCCAUAACCUACUGCAAACGAAUCAUGUCACUGACAGUGUUACCUCACAAGAGCCAAACAAUCAAAUUGUUUGAUAACUUUUUUCAGGGUACCACAACACUCAUUUCGUUCCAUUUAUGUUUGCAUUGGCACUUCACUUACCAAACAACACCGUAAUAUCUAUCCCAGUUGAUCAUAGCAAAUUCCUAAAGUUAUGAUCGAUACAUGUGGAUCUAAAUCAUUUUCAAGUAAAACCAUCGACGAACGAGCCAUAGUGAGACUUAACGAGAAAAGCUCAAUUGUUCCAAUAGUACAAAAAGAUGUUCUCAAUUUGGAUAGAACAAGUUUUUAAGAGUUCUUUGGAAUUAUGUGAUGAUACCACAAAAAAUGGCACAUGGAAAUAGUAACUUUUAGUGGUAAGUCAUGAAAGCUAAGGGAAGGUGGGAGCAGAUAGUUACAAAUAGAAGAUCAUAAACAAGGGGAAAGUUUAAUUUCCUAACACAUCAGACAAAAGGAACCCCAUGGACAUAUUGAGAAUGUAAGCUCCAAGUAAGAAUAUCUGGCAUAAGGAGAGGACAAUAUGAUGAAACAAAGGAUAUGGAGAAGAAUUUGGAAGAUCGAUGAGGCCAAGGUCCAUAAAUUUAAUGACAUCGAAUGUGAAGUACAGGAAUGGUAUAUGUAUUGCUACAAUGCUACACCUAGUUAUGAAUUGUGGCAUAUAAAAAACACUCAUGUAUGGUCCAUCUAGCGUGGUGCUUCCCUAUAGGUAGAGUUUUUGUCUUCCCCUAAAAUGUAGUACUGGUGAACUGGUGGCCGAUCAACAUGGAUCAUUAAGAAUGUUGUAGACGAUGUUGUAGUGAAAGCUUUGCAUAUCGAGGCCUUAGGGGUUGUACUUGAUACCUUCUAGUUGAGUCACGGAGGUGUCACAAAUUAAAAUAGGUAUGGUUAUUGUAAGUUUUUGGCUCAAAACUCAAGAGACUACACCUUGUGUACAUUUCUAAGCUAUUCCUCAAAGGAUCCAAGACCACAAGGGUAUGUUCCAUUAUGUGCUAUAGCGCAUCAAUCAUAUUUUUAGGAACAUAUAUAUAUAUAUAUAUAUAUAUAUAUAUAUAUAUAUAUAUAUAUAUAUAUAUAUAUAUAUAUAUAUAUAUAUAUAUAUAUAUAUAUAUAUAUAUAACGAUGCCAUAAAAUAGGAAAAAAUAGCAUGUUCAAGUUCUUGGAACAAUGAACAAAAGAUUUGUGAUGAACACCCACAUUCUUUUGCAAUAAGAUUCCUUUAACUCAAACCACAAGUAAUGAAGAACCAAGUGAAUGAAGAAUAAACAAAGGACAAUACAACAUAGAGUGAGUUGGAAAGGGUGCUUGGUGCACUCUACAAAAUUUCUUUUGCGUGGCCUUACCAUUUUUUGAUUGGAGGCGGGCACACCUCCCGACCACCUCCAUUGUUCCAAGCCAGGUCACCCUCCCAAAGGCCCCCUUGGUUAAACUUUAACGGAGGUAGUUCGUAUCCUCGAUUAACCAGGUGGUUGCAUAAUAACAACCACCUUCCAUUAAUCCAUUAACAAAGGUGGUUGUCUUAAGGUGUCUGUUUCUGUUAAUGAAUUAACGGAGGUGGUCAUUAUAAAAUAACCACCUCCAUUAAUGAAUUCAUGUGUACCAUGUCAAUGAUCCAUUAGCAAGGCUGGUGGCCACUCGUAGCCUUCCACGUGUUUGAGGGGUCCACUCGUCAUAGGCACAAAAGAAGCACAAACCAAAGGAGGCGGUGACACACGGUCUCUCUCUCUCUAUGAGCCAUGGCCUAUCUCUUUCUCAUGCCUUCCUCUGCUCCCUCACUGCUCCUUCUCUCUAUGUGGCAACGAAGCCGGCGGCCACAAAGGCCUCCCUCUCUAUUCCCUCUCUCUCUCUCUACAUGGCAACGAUGAUUGCAGUGAGGAGGAGACAAGCCGGAUCCGGUGGAGGGCAGCCAGAUUUGAUGGAGGCUAGCCCGAUCAGGUGAAGGAAAGCGCCGACGUCGCCGAUGGGCAGGUACAGUCUCCUCAUCUCUCUCUAUCUUCCUCUCUUUAUCUCCCUCACUCACUCUUCCCUCUCCCCUUUUGCAGAUCUAGUGCUGGCUGGAGCCGCACAGACGAUAGCGGCGAUAGGUGGAACCCUAGGAACCGGCACGAGCGAGGACGACUGAGGUGGCAAGAAAGAGGACGGUGGCACAUGAGCGACCUUCACGAUGUCGACGGUAGCCGUCACAGACCAUGGAAAGGAUGACUUAGAUGAUGGAGGCUCCAGAAACUGAAGCUAGCUAGCUCCAGGACCUAGAUUUUUUUAUUUUUUUGUUAACCGUGGCGGGCCUAGUCUUGUGACCGCCUCCAUUAAAGACCUAUUAAUAGAGGCGGUUGCCUUAUAGCGCCAGCCUCUAUUAAUGUUUUAAUAGAGGGGGGCAGGGGCAACCGCCUCCAUUAAGUCAUAAUUAACCGUGACCUAUCGUUGGAGACGAUUGCCCCAGCCCGCCUCCAUUAACGAAAAACAACCGCCUCCAAUAAAAAAAAUCUCUAGUAGUGGUGUAUACUUCUGUUGGAUAUAUUUGAUCUAGUGUGCUAAUAAUAUAUUUGUUAGUGACUUCUAUGUAUACCUAUUACAAGUUAUUUUGCAUGUUAUAUGUAUCAAAAGUUCCAAACAAUAGUUCAUAGGCACAUGUCAUUUUCAUUUAUCUAGCAGUUUAAGAAUUAAAUACAAAACCCUAUCACUUUCAUUCUAAUUCAUUUUCAUUAUUUGCAAAGGUGUAAUUCUCUUAAGGGACAACAACAUGUGUAUUAGGUGCUCAAUUAGAUCUAACAAAAUCUCGAUGCUGUUUUUGGGUGUGACAUGUGGUUGCAGGGACAAGAUGGUUCAAGCUUUGUCAGUUUCCCCGAGUAAAUAUUUAUGUCAUUCUAAAAAUGGCGAGUUAGUUUACAUCAAAGGUUUUAGAACACGUAUGAUGAUAUGCGGCAUUGGAGAGCAAUAAGUGCACCUUAUUGUUGCCCAAACAUAGUUCAUCUACUUGCAUGAAUGUUGUUCUCACAUGUACAAUAAUAUAAUUGCACAUUAAGUGGCCAAAGAUCAAUUUAGGUGUUGGUCUUUGUGUGUGCAUAAUUCCGAUAAUUCUAUCUACAUGAACAAUUGUCAUACAAAGUCAGGUUAAUUUAUCUAAUGACAAUGAAUUUAAAUUUUUUUUAUAUUUCCAUGAUAGAAAUAGUGUUUUUAAACUGUUAUAUAUAAUUCAAAGUGAACAUUACAACUAAGAUUACCAUCAAUCCCACUAUGCAUAGUCGCAUGGCUGGUCCCACCUAACACAACACACAAUUUUGGAUAUUAUACCAACAUGAUGAUGUUUGUGUGUGUGGUAAUGCUCAAUUAAUCAAGCAUCACACUAUAAGGACGAUUUAUAUCUUCUUACUCUCAAUCUUAGGGCAAAAUAAUUAUCGGGCACAUUUGGAGACUAGUAACACAUUAGAAUCUAGAAAUAUAUAAUUUAUUAUUUCUGAGAAGCCUCAGACAUCAGCCUAAAAACUUCAUUAUUGAAUUACAACUAGUAAGCAAUCUAAAAGAGGGCACCACCAAUGAAGGGUUGUUGGCAGGACGUUGCUGGGUUCGCCAGAGCAAGCUGGAUGAAUGGCAACAACUGUUGUUGUUGAAAGAGGGUGGCGGCAUUAGCCACACCCUGCGGGUAGAACGGCAGCAGCUGUUGUUGUGGCCAGAAGGUGGCAGGACUCACAGCACCUAGCUGGCUGAAUUGUAGUAGUAGUUGUAGCUGCAAAUAGGCAGCAGGGUUCACUGCAGCUAGUUGGUUGAAUGGGAGCAACUGUUGUAGUUGUAAGAGGGUGGCGGCGUUAGCCACACCCUGCGGGUAGAACGGCAGCAGCUGUUGUUGUGGCCAGAAGGCGGCAGGGCUCGCAGCAGCUAGCUGGCUGAAUUGUUGUAGUUGUUGCAGCUGCAAAUAGGCAGCGGGGUUCACUGCAGCCAGUUGGCUGAAUGGAAUAAACUGCUGUUGCUGGGAGUACGCAGCAAGGUUUGCCAACGUUACUUGGUUGAUCGAAGGUAGCACCAGUUGCUGCAGUUGUUGUGCCCUGAUGCUUUGUGCCAACAAAUUCACCAAGGACAACUGCUGCAAUAGGGCCGAUGGUUGUUGGAUGAACAAGGGUGAUGACUGUAAGAUGCUUGCUGCGAUUGCCUGUUGGAGCCCAUAGGGUUGUAGCAUUGGGUUUGCGCACACUGGUGGGAGGUAUGCGGGAUGAGGGGCAGCUAUAGAAAUUUGUGAGCAGUGCGGUUGCGGGAUAUAGGUCGCGGUAGCAGCACUUGCAAAAAGAGCAAGGAGCAUAAUGAGGGAAAAUAUCUUGGCCGCCAUUGUUGCUAUGUUGCUAGUGUAUUCCACUUUCUAUGUUGCUAGUUGGUCUCAAUAAUAUGGGUGAUGGAUUACCUACUGAUCUGGGGGGUAUUUAUACUCAUGUUAAGCCUUGUGGUUGUGCAAGAUUUAUUUUGGCUUUUACCAAAAAACAUAAUAGUAAGAUAAGCUAGAGAUGACGUGGUAUCUAGUUGGUUUUGACAUUUAGUUGCCACUUUGUUGGGUUAUACUUUAUACAUCUGCAAUACAAUCUCCACAAAAUACACUAAAUAAGUGGUUUUGUCCUCUUGGUAUUUUCCAAAUACUUGGGUGACAAUGGCUCGAUCCAUUCACCUUUACACAUGUGUAGCCUUAGCCACAUAUGUGCGGCUUGGUUAGGCUAUUUUGCACCAGAAAAAAAAUUCAUGGUGGUAUUCACCAAUGUUAAUUUGCAUUUGGUUAUUUUGUGCUAUAAUCGGUUCAAGGAGUCACUCGUUCCAUGUCGUACAAUGCGGUUACCACCCAUAACCUACCACAAAUGGAUCAUGUCAACGGCAGUGUUACCUCACAAGAACCAAACAAUCAAAGUAUUUGGGGAACAACAAUAUUCAUUUCCAUUUCACUUUUAUUGACACUCCACUAACCAAACAACACCAUAAUAUCUAUUCCACUUGAUUAUAGUCAAUACCUAAAGAUUGACAAAUACCUAAGUCAUUUUCAACUAACACUAUUACAGAAAGAUCAGCACAACCAGUUUGGAAACCUGCAUCGCCGCCACUUCCAGCACUCGGCAGUGAAUUAUCGACAGUGAUGGCCAUGGUAAUCAUGUCCAGUUAGUAAUUAGUGGUGGUUAUAUGCUAUCACCACCAUUUUGGAGUUCAAUCUAGCUGCGAUAACAUCAAUAUCAUCGCUGAGUUUAUUUUUUGUUCAGGCGUUGAAGAUCCUACAAAUGUUGUCGGGUUUAUAACAAAAUCCAACAAUGAUGGUCAUUUGGUCACCAUCGGUCAGUUGUACACACCGGCAAUGUUGAGAGUUCCUACACCACUGAUCAGUGCUGCAGUCUAUAUAUGACAAGCGUUGAUCACCACAGGUCAGUGGUCACUGUCGGCAGUGAUGAUCAAUUGAUCGACAUCUGUUCAAUUCAUACCCGAUGAUGAUCACUACUACAUCACCAAUGGUAGCUUGAGCUGGUGUCGAUGGCCUUCAUUGAUGGAAUGAUAUUGCAUCUGUGUUUUCACAUUUAUGAAAAAUUCUACUUAAUUAACUCCCUCAACUAUUGUGUGUUAUAUAUCGUGCAGUGUUUGAAGCAACCUUGAUAGGGAGUGCUAUAUGUCUAUUUAUGUUUUAACUUUGUAUGAAUUUUAAGACCCCUAAUUUAUGUUAGGAUAACCAUGUCAUAUAUAAUAUAUAAGUUAACAUUGGUUAUAAUAUGAUAGUGUACAAUAUAAUUAAACUUGUGUCAAAUUAAAUUUGAAAAUACAACAUUGAUAGACUUUUUUCUUCCACUGCAAAGCAAAGGAAUACUUAGAUGUAAAUAUAUCGUAACUAUAAAAAAUGUAUUGUCAGUUAUGAGAUUUGCAUCAAGUAUAGAGGGUCUUGAGUAAUGCUAAUACUAAUAUUAGUAUUAGUUAUAGAUAUAGACAAAUUAAUAAUAAUUAAUUAUAUUAAUUAUUACAUACAGGUUAGAUCCAAAUUUUAUCCUGUUGACGCCAUUUUUGGUAACGAGUCAAGGUAAUCAAAAUGGACCUAUUGGCAGUAAAGAGAUUAUUGCAUUAUGCCGAUAGGAGAGGUGCCGAUGAAGAUCGGCUGAUAGAGAUUGUUGCCGAUGGAAGGUCAUGAUCGGUGGAAAGGUUGUCUUUUAAAUUGAAUUAAAGAGUGUUGAUCAGAGAUGGUGUUUGCCAAUGUCGAUUCAGGGGUCAUUGCCGAUGAAGCCUGUAAUGAUUCAUUGCCGAUGUCGAUGAAGGAGGACAUGAAGACUGCUGCUGAUGAAGCUUGAAAUAACAGGGAACAUGCCGAUGGAGCAGGAGCCGAUGGAGAUUUCAUCGUGAUUGAGGCGGACACGAGAGUAGAUAGAUGUUAUUUUCUAUUUUUUAUAUUUGUUAGGGUAUACCUUACGUAAGAAUCCUGUUUUAUCUUAAAGUCGGAUCCUAGUCGUGUUUGGUUGUAUCUCUUUAGGACAGGGUAUAAAUAUAGACCAGAGGGCAAUGUAAUGAGACAAUCAAUCAAUAUCAAAUCCAAGUUUACUCCUACUUUUGCAUGUACUUACUUUUCGACGACUUCGUCAAUUCACAUAUUUUCUUUUUACGAGUUCUCUUGGUUCGGCGAGUUGCAUUGUUCUAGCGCAAAUCUCGACGAUCCUCGAGUUCCGUGUGAGUACCUCUUGACCGUGACUUUCGGGCGCAUCACUGUUGUCGGGACCAAAGUACUUGAGUUAGACCAAAGUACUUGAGUUAUCAUCCUUAUCGAUUAACAGGUCAAAUCGACUGACACGUCUAGGAUAUCGGAUUGGGUUUUGUGUUUGCAGAUUCACUUUUGCAUCAACAGAUCCCAUUUUCUUCCACAUGUUUUGCAAUCCAUCUUCGGUCUUUUUUCGAUCAUACUUUGGUUGUCAGCAGGACGUGAGUUCGAGUCAUACACGGGAUAAUUAAACCAAUUAUAACUCUAAUCUCUAGUAUAGUUAAACCAACUAGGACUAGUAUAUUCUGAAAAGUGGAAGGACACACAAUAGGAAGAGAAUGUGACAGACGACCAAAAUUUUGUAGAAAACUUUUUCACUCCUUAUAUUAGAUCUCUGUUCCAAACGCUAUGCUAUAAGGUUGGCUCGGGAAUGUAAUCUCCUAGUCUUGUAGGUAGAUUUGUGGCAUGGUGGACACUGCCCCAUAGAGCCCCCACGGCCCACAGAACACAGACACCAGCUUGCCGCAUUCUAUUAAGAUUCCUUGACGCUCGGGAGUAGACAUAGUACAUGAUUAGACCUUAAUAUUCUCACCAAUGUUAAUUUCUGUUUGCUUAAUUUGUGCUAUAGUCAGUUGAAGGAGUCACUCGUUCCUGUGCCAUUCGUUCCUAUGCCAUACAAUGCGAUUACCACCUGCAACCUACCACAAAUGGAUCAUGUCGACGGUAAUGUUAACUCACAAGAACAAAACAAUCAAAGUAUUUCUAAAAAUGGUGAGUUAUUUUACAUCAAAGGUCUGCACUGGAGAGCAAUAAGUGCACCUUAUUGUUGGAAAAAAAGUUCCAUCUACUUGCAUGAAUGCUGUUCUCACAUGUACUAUAAUAGAAUUACAUAUUAGUGGCCAAUGAUCAAUUUAGGCAUUGGUCUUUGUAUGUGCACAAUUCCCAUAAUUCUAUCUACAUGAGCAGUUGUCAUACAAAUUAAGUCAGGUUAAUUUUUCUAAUGCUGAUGAAUUUAAAGUUUUUUAUAUUUCCAUGAUAGAAAUAGUGUUUUUGAUACUUUUUUCUAUAAUUCAAAGCCAAUAUUACAAUUAAGAUUACCAUCAAUCCCACUAUGCACAUUCGGAAUGGCUAGUCCCACAUAACACAGUAUGCAUUUUUGCAAGAUUAUACCAACAUGAUGAUGUUUAUGUGUGGUAAUGCUCAAUUAAUCAAGCAUCACACUAUAAGGUUGAUUUAUAUCUCCUUACUCUCAAUCUUAGUGCAAAAUAAUUAUCGAACACACCAGGAGACAAGUAAGACAUUAGAAUACGGAAGCAUAAUUUAUUAUUUCUGAGAAGCCUCAGACAUGAUAGCCUAAAAACUUCAUUAUUGAACUACAACUAGUAAGAAAUCUAAAAGAGGGCACCACCAAUGAAGGGCUGUUGGCAGGACGUUGCUGGGUUCGCCAGAGCAAGCUGGAUGAAUGGCAGCAACUGUUGUUGCUGAAAGAGGGUGGCGGCAUUAGCCACACCCUGCGGGUAGAAUCGCAGUAGCUGUUGUUGUGGCCAGAAGGUGGCAGGACUCACAGCACCUAGCCGGCUGAAUUGUAGUAGUUGUUGCAGCUGCAAAUAAGCAGCAGGGUUCACUGCAGCCAGUUGGUUGAAUGAGAGCAACUGUUGUAGUUGUAAGAGGGUGGCGGCGUUAGCCACACCCUGCGGGUAGAACGGCAACAGCUGUUGUUGUGGCCAGAAGGCGGCAGGGCUCGCAGCAGCUAGCUGGCUGAAUUGUUGUAGUUGUUGCAGCUGCAAAUAGGCAGCGGGGUUCACUGCAGCCAGUUGGCUGAAUGGAAUAAACUGCUGUUGCUGGGAGUACGCAGCAAGGUUUGCCACCGUUACUUGGUGGAUCGAAGGUAGCACCAGUUGCUGCAGUUGUUGUGCCCUGAUGCUUUGUGCCAACAAAUUCACCAAGGACAACUGCUGCAAUAGGGCCGAUGGUUGUUGGAUGAACAAGGGUGAUGACUGUAAGAUGCUUGCUGCGAUUGCCUGUUGGAGCCCAUAGGGUUGUAGCAUUGGGUUUGCGCACACUGGUGGGAGGUAUGCGGGAUGAGGGGCAGCUAUAGAAAUUUGUGAGCAGUGCGGUUGCGGGAUAUAGGUCGCGGUAGCAGCACUUGCAAAAAGAGCAAGGAGCAUAACGAGGGAAAAUAUCUUGGCCGCCAUUGUUGCUAUGUUGCUAGUGUAUUCCACUUUCUAGGUUGCUAGUUGGUCUCAAUAAUAUGGGUGAUGGAUUACCUACUGAUCUGGGGGGUAUUUAUACUCAUGUUAAGC
Molecule: long non-coding RNA, 59376 nt
Filed under: Sorghum bicolor (sorghum)
Lineage: Eukaryota; Viridiplantae; Streptophyta; Magnoliopsida; Poales; Poaceae
Description: long non-coding RNA (SBIC_LNC009612)
Source: RNAcentral